CCAGCUUCCAAGAGUAGUGAUUCUUGAGUUUAAUUCAACAGAAUGGCUGGCUCAGUAGCUGUCAAGGUCUCAUGCCUGGUGUUGAUGUGCAUGUUGGUGGCUUCGCCCAUGGCAGUAGAAGGGUUGUCGUGUGGUGACGUAGCAACCCAGUUGGCCCCGUGCAUCAACUACCUGAGAAGUGCUGGCCCAUUGCCUCCGGCGUGCUGCAAUGGUGUUAAGAACCUCAAAAACUCUGCCGCCACCACACAAGACCGCAGGACCGCUUGCAAGUGCUUGAUAAAUGCUUCUAAAUCCAUCUCUGGUGUGAACUUUGGUCUGGCUGCUGGCCUCCCUGGCAAAUGUGGUGUCAACAUUCCUUACAAGAUUAGCCCCUCCACCAACUGCGACCAGUAUCUACCCUCUCUCUCUAUUUCCUUCUCUCCUUAUCUCAUAAGGAAUUAACAUGAAAUUUUACAUAUUUUCUAACUCGUGGUGUUUGUUGUUGCAGAGUGAAUUGAGGUGACUGGAGGAGCGAGGAACCUGUUUAGCAGCAUGAAAAUAAAGCGGACGUUGAGUCCAGUGCUCGGGACUUCACUCCAGCAAGUGACCUGUAGUAUUUGUAGUAAUGUGUGUCCGUGUCCCAUUCUACUUGUUUGCCAUCUAUCUAUCUGCUUGAGUGAGUGAGCGAGUGAGUGCCUAUCCAUGUAAUAAUUAUCCUUACGGGAACCAUGCUGGUCUACUUUUUUCUAUACCACUACUACUCUCUCUCUCUCUCUCUCUCUCUCUCUCUGAACUAAGGGGUACCCUAUAAUUAUCCUUACGGGAACCAUGCUUGUCUACUUUUUUCUAUACUACUCCUCUCUCUCUCUCUCUCUCUCUCUCUGAACUAAGGGGUACCCUACAAUGAAAUGAAAAGGGUUCCACUGCUAGGUAAGCGGCACAUGGGUGGGUGAGACAUGUGAAGAGAAGGGCACACACUCAUGCCAAUUGAACAUUAAUGGCUGGGAGUUGGGGCAGACAAAUCAUAUUUUCACAUAGGGCCACUUUCUAAAAGGAAAAAACUGGAGCUCAGCCCCAUUCUUCCGUAAGUAAUUGAAGUUUAUGUUACUGUAACAAUGCCCAACCACAUAGAUGACCAAACCCCAAUCGUUUCAAAAUCUUAGGGUUGUUUGUUAGCAGAAAAUAGAUUUUUUUUCUUUUCUUUUCUUUUUCCCAUAACAGAAAAUCGAAGAUGGAAUGUGAGUAAAAAGAAGACAUUAUUUCAUUUCCAAAAAUGAACAUAUUUUUGAAAUAUGACUAAUUGUUAAACACUCCCUUGUGACUCAUGUAUUUUCUUGGCCGUUCCAUUAAUAGUACACUAAUUUAAAAAAAUUAUGCUUAAAUUAUUAUAGUAGAAGAAGUUAUUACAAAUAUAUGAUAGUUUUUGUCAUAUAGAAGAUAGGAAAGAGGAGAGAGGAGAGAGGGUGAACGGAUAAUUUUUUUUAAAACCAAAAUCAUCUUUUCAAAUUUCAAAAGAUGAAAUCGUCUCUUCAAGAUACGAGUUUUCAUGAAAAAAUAUAUAUAUAUAAUUUUUUUUAAAAAUUCCCAAAUUAAAAAAAAAAAAAAAAAAAAAUCCUCAAGGAACUCGUGAAAAGACGAGUUCCCAUGAAAAAAAAUAUUUUUUUUUAAAUUUCUAAAUUACUAAAAAUAAAAAUAAAAAUAAAAAAUAUCUCAAGGGAACUCGUCUCUUGAAAAGACAAGUUCCCAUGAAAAAAAUAUUUUUUUUUUUUAAAAUUGUCAAAUUAUAAAAAAAUAAAAAAUUCCUCAAGGAACUCGUUUCUUGAAGAGACGAGUUCCCAUGAAAAAAAAUAUAUAUAUAUAUAUUUUUAAAAAAAUUCUCAAAUUAAAAAAAAAAAAAAAAAACAAUUCCUCUAGGGAACUCGUCUCUUGAAGAGACGAGUUUCCAUGAAAAAAAUAUAUAUAUUUUUUAAAAAAAAUUCCUAAAUUAUAAAAAAAAUAAAAAUAAAUAAAAAUUCCUAAAGGGAACUCGUCUCUUGAAGAGACGAGUUCCCAUGAAAAAAAAUUCCUCAAGGGAAAUCGACUCUUUAAAAAAAAUAUAUUUUUUUUAUAUAUAUUUUUUUUUAAAAUUCCCAAAUUAUAUUUUAAAAAAAAAAAAACAAUUCCUCAAGAGACGAGUUCCCGAAAAAAAAAUUUUAACAAAAAUUCCCAAAUUAUAAAUAAAUAAAAAAUAAUUGGGGAAUUUUUUUCAUGGGAACUCGUCUCUUUCCCUUGAGGAAUUGUUUUUUUUUUUUUUUUAAUUUUUAAUUUGGGAAUUUUUUUAAAAAAAAAUAUAUUUUUUCAUGGGAACUCGUAUCUUGAAGAGACGAGUUCCCUUGAGGAAUUGGUUUUUUUUUUUUUUUAAUUUGGGAAUUUUUUUUUUUUUAAAUAUAUAUAUAUAUAUAUAUAUUUUCAUGGAACUCGUCUCUUUAAGAGACGAGUUCGCUUGAGGAAUUUUUUUUUUUUUUUUAAUUUGGGAAUUUUUUUAAAAAAUAUAUAUAUAUAUUUUUUCCAUGGGGAAAAGACGAGUUCCCUUGAGGAAUUGUUUUUUCUUUUUAAAUAAUUUGGGAAUUGUUUUAAAAAAAAAAUUAAUGGAACUCGUCUCUUCAAGAGACGAGUUCCCUUGAGUAUUUUUUUUUUCUUUUUUUUUUUUAAUUUGGAAAUUUUUUUUUUAAAUAAUUUUUUUUCUAUGGGAACUCAUCUCUUGAUUCCCUUGAGAAAUUGUUUUUUUUUUUUUUUUUUUUAAAAAUUGGGGAAUUUUUUAAAAAAAAUAAUAUAUAUAAUUUCAGGGAACUCGUCUCUUGGAAAAAACAAGUUCCCUUGGAGGAAUUUCCUUUUUUUUUUUUAAUUUGAAAAUUUUUUUUUUUAGGGGAAACUCCCUCUAUUGAAGAAAACGAAGUUCCCUUGGAGAAAAUUGGUUUUCUUUUUUUUUNNNNNNNNNNNNNNNNNNNNNNNNNNNNNNNNNNNNNNNNNNNNNNNNNNNNNNNNNNNNNNNNNNNNNNNNNNNNNNNNNNNNNNNNNNNNNNNNNNNNUUUUUUUUUUUUUUUAUUUGGGAAAUUUUUUUUUUUUAAAUAUAUAUAUAAAUAUAUAUAUUUUCAUGGAACUCGUCUCUUUAAGAGACGAGUUCCCUUGAGGAAUUUUUUUUUUUUUUUUAAUUUGGGAAUUUUUUUAAAAAAUAUAUAUAUAUAUUUUUUCCAUGGGGAAAAGACGAGUUCCCUUGAGGAAUUGUUUUUUUUUUUUAAAUAAUUUGGGAAUUGUUUUAAAAAAAAAAUUAAUGGAACUCGUCUCUUCAAGAGACGAGUUCCCUUGAGUAUUUUUUUUUUCUUUUUUUUUUUUAAUUUGGAAAUUUUUUUUUUAAAUAAUUUUUUUUCUAUGGGAACUCAUCUCUUGAUUCCCUUGAGAAAUUGUUUUUUUUUUUUUUUUUUUUAAUAAUUUGGGAAUUUUUUAAAAUAUAUAUAUAUAUAUUUCAUGGAACUCGUCUCUUGAAGAGACGAGUUCCCUUGAGGAAUUUCUUUUUUUUUUUAAUUUGAGAAUUUUUUUUUCUAUGGAAACUCGUCUAUUGAAGAGACGAGUUCCCUUGAUGAAUUGUUUUUUUUUUUUUUUUUUUGUUUAAUUUGGGAAUUCUUUUAAAAUAUAUAUAUAUAUAUUUCAUGGAACUCGUCUCUUCAAGAGACGAGUUUUCUUGAGGAAUUUUUUUUUUCUUUUUUUUUUGUUUUUUAUAAAUGGGGAAUUUAAAAAAAUAUAUAUUUUUUUUCAUGGAACUCGUCUCUUGAAGAGACGAUUUCCUUUUUGAAAUUUUUUUAAAAUCGUCUUUUGAAAAGACGAUUUCGUCUUUUGAAAUUUGAAAAGAUGAUUUUGGUAUAAAAGAAAUUUAUCUGUUCAUUCACUCUCCUCUCUCCUAAGUAGCAAAAACUACCAUAUAUUUGUAAUAACUUCUACUACUACUAUAAUUUAAGCAUAACUUUUUUAAAUUACCGUACUAUUGAAAAAAGUCUGUUCCAUCAAUAUCUAAAAGUACACUAAGACACUUAAACCCACAACUACCCAUCUCCAAAAAUUCAAUAUUCUUAAAAGAACACCAAAUGCAGUUCUCCAAGGGAUAUUGAAUGAAUCCCUAUUUCUUAAAAUAGGGUUUAUCCAUUCACAACCAAUCAUAUAGAAAUUAUCACAUUUGGAUUCAAAAUGAUCCUCACCGUUUUAAAACAUAUCUACUUGGCUGAAGAAAUUAUCACAAACACCUUCCGUAUUAACACAUUUUUGUUGUAUAACAUAGAAUUAUAGGACCUCAUAUGGGCAAACAAACCACCUCAAAACAUAUUUUUAAAAUAAUAUUUUUUUUUAUAAAAAAUAUAUUCUAACAUAUUCUUUGAAAUAAAAAACUGUUUUGAAUUUUAAAAAUUAAACGUUGUUUUCAAAAACCCAUUCCAAACAUGGCAUAAUUUUCCUUUUUAUAUAUAUUUAGUUUAUUUCUCAUUUCAUGCCUAGUGGGGCCGGGGCAAUAAAUGGAUAUGUUUUCUACUAAGGUGAGAACCAAUUUCGUGAGUGGAUAUUUAUUAAAUAUUAAGAAUGUGUUCGGUAGUAAUACAAGAAAUUGUUUAUAUAUUUUUUUAAUAUUUAAAUUUUUUUAUAUUUUAAGUAUUAAAAAUAUUUUUUAAAAUUAUUAUUAAAUAUAUUUUAAGAGUAAGUUUGAUAAUAAUUUUAGAAAGUAUUUCUAAUAUUUUUAAUGCUUAAAAGAUAAAAGAUUUUAAAUAUUAAAAAAACUAAAAACAUUUUAUAAAAUUACUAUCAAAUACGUUAUAAGUUAAAAUGUGUUUAAGAAUAAUUUUAUAAAGUAUUUAUAGUAUUUUUAAUAUUUGAAUGAUAAACAAACGACGUUUUAAUUCAGAAUUCAGAGCUACAGGGACUUUUCUUAUCAAGAAGUGUAUGCAGCAUGAAUGAAUAUCAUGGUCACUGAUGGAUCACUAUCACCUUUGCAACAAUUGACUCGGAAAAUGACCAAAACACAAUGAAGACAUAAGAUGAAUAAGAAGCCUAAUGCUACUUUAUCUAUAAAAUAAUUUUUUAUUUGCAUGUACUCUAUACAUCAUGGCGCUACCUAUUCCUAGUAGGGUUCGAAUUUGUUCAACUCAACACUUUAUAAUUCUAUCUCAAAUUUGUUGAUUUUGGACUGAGACGGAUACUCCGACCAACUACUUCAAUACUUUGUCCGCUUGAACCUAUAAAAAGGUGUGCUUGGAUGGUUUUAAACAGACCUCAAUUUUUUUUAAGAAAUCUUUUCCGAAAACCUCAAAGCUGAUUUAAACAUCGAAGAGGUCCGUCCAAAAUCAUUUAAACACACAUUUUUGUUGAUUCAAGGGAAUGAGGCAUUAGAGUGGCUUUCUGAGGGCUCGGUAGCAAUCCAAAAUCAACAAAGUUUACCUUUUAAAAACAUGAAUUUAGUAUACAGAAUAUUCUCUGAUUUUUUUUUUUUUUUAAGUAUAUUUUUAUCUUAUGGGUAAAGUCUCUUUAAGAGAAGGAUAAUGAUGUGUUUUUUAGAGUUUUGGGGUAAAAUAACCCUUUUAUGUAAAAAAAUAUAUAUAUAUAAAUUUUAGCCCAUUUACAAAACUUAUGUUCAAAUUAACCUCUUUAUUACCACAUAGGAGUCAUAUCAUAUAUUUUUUUUUUUUCAAAAUUUAAGUUGAAGUUUCAAUUGCCAACUGAGGUUUCAUUUUUUAACUAAAACCUCAAUUGACAAUUAAGGUUUCAGUUAAUUUUUUAUUUAUUUUAAAAUUUAAUUAAAAAAUUAAAUUAUAAAUUAUUAUUAAAAUUUUAAAAAAUAUUUUAAUAAUAAUAAUUUAUAUAUUUAAACUUAAAUUUCUAAUAUUACUUCAAUAAAGAUAAAUUGAUAAAUAUAAUAAUAAACAAAUAUUUUAUUUAUCAAUAAAUUAUUAAUUUUAAAAUAAUAAAGUUAUAUGAAAUCUAAAUAAGAUAUAAAAUUAUAUAAUUUAUUAAUUUAAGAUAUUUAAUUUGUUGUAUUUUUAAGAUAUUAAUUUAUUUGUAUUUUGACAAAUUUAUCUUUAUUAAAAUAAUAGUAUAUUCUUAACUUUCGUAUAUAGAUUUUAUUAUUAUUAUUUUAAAGCAUAUAUUUAUAGUUUAACGUAAAAAUAAAUAAAUAAAUAAAUAAAAACUAUUAUUUGUACACACAAUAUAUAUGGCUUGAAGAUACAUUUUGAAAUUAGUUAAUGAAAUUAAUUAGAAAAAGUCUACUACAAAAUGUAAUUUUUAGUAGUUUCAUCAUAGUCACAAAAAAUAUCCAUUAAACAUUCAUAUAAUAGAAAAAAAAUGUCUCUCCCUAAUAUUAUAUGUGAUAUAACUUAAAUUAAUAAAUUAUAUGAUUUUAUAUUUUAUUUAUAUUUCAUAUAAUUUUAUUAUUUUAAGAUUAUUAAUUAAUUGAUAAAUAAAAUAUUUAUUUAUUAUAUUUAUCAAAUUAUCUUUAUUGAAGUAAUAUUAGAUCUUUAAGUUUAAACAUAUAAAUUUUUAUUAUUAAAGUAUAUUUUUUUAAUUUCAAUAAUAAUAAUUUAAAAUUUAAUAUUUUUAAUUAAAUUUUAAAGUAAAAAUAAAAUAAAAUAACCGAAGCAAAUUGGCAUAUCUUAUUUAAAUUUCAUAUAACUUUAUUAUUUUAAGAUUAUUAAUUUAUUAAUAAAUAAAAUAUUUAUUUAUUAUUGUAUUUAUCAAUUUAUCUUUAUUGAAGUAAUAUUAGAUCUUAAAGUUUAAAUAUAUAAAUUUUUAUUAUUAAAAUAUAUAUUCUUAAUUUCAAUAAUAAUUUACAAUUUAAUUUUUUAAUUAAAUUUUAAAAUAAAAAAAAUUAACUGCAACUUCAAUUGUCAAUUGAGGCUUUAGUUAAAAAAUGAAGCAUCAGUUGACAACUGAGACUUCAGUUAAAAAAUGAAGCCUCGUUUGGCAACUGAGGCUUUAAUUAAAAAAUGAAGUCUCGAUUGGUAACUGAUGCUUUAAUUCAAAAUUGAAGCAUCAGUUGGCAACUGAGACUUCAACUUAAAUUUUGAAGAAAAAAAAUAUGACUUAACUCUUAUAUGAUAAUAAAUGGGCUAAUUUGAACAUAAGUUUUGUAAAGGAGUUAAAGCUUAAAUUUUUUUUUACAUAAAAGGGCUAUUUUGCCCCAAAACUUUGUUUUUUAGCCUAUACUCCUAUAUAUAUUCAUCUUAUUAUUAAUCAAACUUUGUACUUGAUAUUCACUUCUCAACCAUCCUUUUUUUUUCAAAAAUCUCUAACCCUUGAACUCUGCGAUCUUCAAUUCUAUAAUUUUGGUUGAUAAAGUUUUCUGAAUAAAGAAGACAAGAGGAAUAUCUAAUUUAUACUUAGAUUAUUAAUUGUAAAAUGACUCUUUUAGAGUUUAAUUAAUUAAUUAAUUACUUCUAGUUUACUAUUUUGCCCCUAAUGUAAAUUUUGGGGUGUUACAGAGUAGGUGUCAAGGUCACAUGCCUGGUGGUCAUGAGCAUGUUGGUGGCUUCGCCCAUGGCAGUCGAAGGGUUGUCCUGUCAUCAGGUAGCAACCUAUUUGGUCCCUUGCAUCUCCUACCUGAUCUGGGGUUGCUGGUCCAGUGCCCUCGGUGUGCUGCAACGGUGUUGGGAGCCUCAAAACAUCUGCCGAAACCCCAGAUGACCACAGGACCGCUUGCCGGUGCUUGAUAAAUGAUGUUGCUUCCAUCCCUGGUGUGGACAUGGAUGUCGCUGAUGACCUCCCGGUAAAAAUUAAUGCUCUUUGUUUUAAAGGCCCAACCACAUUGGAGACCAAACCCCAAUCUUGUUCAAAAUCUUAGGGUUGUUUGGUAGCAGAAAAAAGGCAUGGGUCUAUGAUUACGAUAAAUAAAUAAAAAUUAAAUGAACAGUUAGGUAAGCAUAGUAAUGGAGCCAUUUAAGGCGUUUUGAAGUUGUGUAUUUUUUUAAAUUAUUUUUUAAAACAACGUAACAUCAAAAAUAACUCUUUGAAAAGAUGAGUUGAAUAUAAAAAUGAACUCGUUUCUUCAAAAACGAUUUUAAUAUAAAAUAAAGUAAACUCGUUUUUUUGACAGACGAAGUCAACAUUAAAAAUUUUAAAGUAAGAAUAAAACUUAUCUUUUGAAAAAUAAAUUCAGCGGAAAAACAAGUUUAAUAUAAAAAAAUGCAUUUAGUUUUUGAAACCACGAGUUUAGUAUAAAAUUUUUUAAAAAAUGAUAAAAGAUAUUAUACUUUUAUAUUUAUUUUUUUAAAAUAACAUUUUUUGAAAAAAAAAAAUCCUGUCGUUUAUAAAUUUAUUUUUUAAAAACUUUAAUGUUAUUUUAAUUUAGAUUUUGUUACAUCUACCAUAUGGACUCAGAUUUGACACUGAGAAUCAUACAAUAGCUUGAGAUUUUCUUUCCCUGGUCGUAACAACCCCGCCACAUUGUCAAAUUUUGAAAUGAAGGGAAUAUUGGUAAAUAUUUUCGGAUUUUGGCCCGUGUGGACUUCAAAACACAACCAGAAAUUUUUUUGGGAUAUUUUUCUGGAUUUUAUCAUCUUUUCCUUGAAGGUGACAAAAUUUGAUACAAUUUAUCGAUACGACUCAAACUUAACAUGUUUUUCACGGAUUUUGAUAGAGUAUAAUUGAAUUUUAGUUAAAAUCAUGUUAAGUUACAUAAAUCAUUUAAUAAAUAAAUAGGUUUUGGAGGCAACACAUAAAUGUGAACAAAAUUGACUUAUUUAAUAAUUCUAUUGAUUAUCUAAUUAUAAUUUUGAAUUAUUUAAUAGUAUUAAAUUUAUUUUUAAAUAAAUAGGUCAAUUAAAUUAUAAACAUGUUUAAUUGAAACAUUAAUCCUAUAGACGUGUAUAAAACCUAACCCAAUUUAAUUAUUAAAUGAGUUAAAUAGGUUAUAUAAUGUGUUAUCCAUUUAAUAGUCAAGUGGUAUUUGGGCUUAUAUUUUUUCUAUAAUAAUAAUUAAUAUUGGGUUUGGAUUAACCUUUGCGGUAAAAUACUUAAGUUUUGAUAUGAUACGAACAUGAUCCAUUAAUAUAAAUUAUCAUCUCUAAUAUUUCUCUUAAUAUUUGACAAAUUUGGAAAAUUCAUUAAAGAUUCAAACUAGUAAAAUUGAAUUGUAAAUCGUUCAUUGACUUUGUUAUUAUAGUGGAUUUUUCCUAUAUUCACAUAUAUUUAAAUACAAAAAAAUUAUAAACUUAUAAAUAAAAUUAUCAAUAUUUUUAAAUAAAAAAUAAUUAUACAUAUAUUAUUAUAUUUUUUAUAUUCUUAAAUACAUAUAAGAAUAACAACAGGUGAGCUCGAGUGGAUCACCACGUUCCAACUUCAUCCCUUCAUUCAAAAUAAUUCUUAUUUUCGUUUUAUUUAAAAUUUAAAAUGAGAUGAGAGUAGUAUGAGGAAUUCCUUACCUCAUCUUAUUUAACUAUUUUUAUUAAAAAAAAAUUAAUUACAUUAAAAUAAAUAUAUUUUAUAAAUAAUUAAAAUAUUAUAAUUUUUUAUAAUUUAUUUUAUUUAAAAUAUUUUUAUUAUUAUAUAUUAAAACAGAGAAAUAAAAAUUAAAUUAAUUUUAUAUAUAAUGGAAAUAAAAAAUAUCUAAACUUGUUUCGAGUUUUUAAAAAAAAAGUCUCAAACACAUCCUUAAUCGUUUAUUUAAAUUUCAAAUAUAUAAACAAAUGUAUCCCAUUAAAAACAAGAUGAGAUGGAUACUCCAAAAAAAUCCGCCAUUUGUAACUUUAAAGACUUGAUUACCUCUUGCAUGGCACACGUAGCCUACGGGCCCAGGGCCGCUGGGCUUGAAAUUCAAGGAGUGUACACAUCAACCAAUUGGUGGAACAAUAUGUUGGCAAAUUGUACUUGUCCCUUUCAUUUUUCAAUCUCCAAAUUACACCUACAUUGUAUCUUUGUUAUACAAAGCCAAAGUGUUUUGGUGAAAAAAUAAUAAUAAUAAUAAAAGCUUCAGUAAAAAUAGAGUGAAUGUAAAUUAACAAGAAAAAGAAACCAACUUUCAUGAAAUAAAGAACAACAAAAACCGACGGUGUUGCAUUUAUUGAGGUAUCUUGGUUCGAAGACUUGUCACUGUGUUUGGUUGCCGACAAAAUUUGGAGUAAGUUUUUUGACCUUUUCUUUGGUUUCCUUUUUUCUUGUGCAAUAAAAUUACCAUACAAGAAGACUUUUCAACACAAGGGGCAGUGAUUAAAUUGCGGUGCGUAUGGCCGUAUGGGUGGAAAGUCGCCCAUCCCCAUUGGGUUUUAAUGUGGCCAACAUGUUGGGCCUCUCUCCAUUACUUCUAUUUCUCAGUCCGGCGUGCUUUUUGAGACGAGACAAAUGGUCAAAGAAUUCGUCUACCCACAUGUAAGACUUACGAUUCUGAUAAUUCACAUCCUUAUGUUAUUAUCCUAAACCAUUUAUAUGAACAGUAUUAAUCCCCAAAUUGAUGAUAAAUAUAUAUAUAUAUAUAUCGAGACAAAAUUAAAGGAAAAAACAAGGAUCAAGGGUUGUCUGGUUGCCCUAGGUUUAACACGUAUAAGUAGUUGAAAACGACCUAGAUUUGAAAUUUACACCGGCCACCCACCCUAAAUGGUAGUCUAUAAUCUUGAGCAUGGCAUUUGUGGUUGUAAGCUACGGAAUUGAAUGAUUCAUCUCUAAUAUAAACAUCUUCAAUUAAUACAUUAAUAGCAUAUAAUAAUUCCUUGAUGAGUGUGUCCUCUAAUAUUCAACAAGUAUAUAUUAAAAAAAUAAAAUAAAUUAAGGUUGUUUACUAGGGUUCAAGGGUAAAGUUAUAAAUUCUUUCAUCCAUCUUUUAAAAAAAUUCUUGUGAUAUGAUUUUUUCUUAAUCUCUUUCUAUUCAUUAUUUAUUGAGAUGAUGGAUUUCUACCUCAAGUAUUAAGAUAUAUUUAUAUAAGUUUUUAAAAUGAACAAAUAAAUAAGGAUUUGAUUAUUUGUAUACCAGUUUUAUUGAAGCCAAAAAAAUUUCUUUAUAAUUUUUUACCUUCAUUUGAAAGGUUUUUUCACCGUUAUAUUUAAUACACUUUUUUCUUGAAUAUUCUUAAAUUAUUAUUAUUCAAUUCUUGUUAAAUUGUUAUUAUUGUUAAAUAAUUAUUAUUAUUAUGAUGAAAUCUUUUAAGUUUGACAGGUGAAUAAUCUAAAUAUUUCUCCUUUUAACUUAUCAACAAAUUAAUAACUAUGUUUUUAAAAUACAUUUAAAACACAAAUUAAAAGAAGGGGAAGUUCUCAAAUAGACUUUUAUUUUUUAAAAUAUCAUACAACCGUUUUUAAAAAAUACUUCCAGCAACAAAAGCCUCGAUGUUUAAUAUUAAAUAAUAUUACUCUUUUAGUAUCGUAUUGAAUAUUUUCGUCCAAUUUCACUCAAACAUGAAUAAAAUGUGAAGUAUGCCACCAAGAAAUGGAAAACGCUGGAAGGAUUAAGAAAAAAAAAAAGGGCAAUGGUACAAAAUAUAUAAGGGGUAAUUGAUAUCAAAAGUUGGGUGUCGAUCCUCCAUGAUUAUCGCAUGUCAAACUACACAUUGAAAAGUAAGCAAGCGCAUUAAAUCACGGAAUUAAAUCCAACUGCCAACCAAUUCCUCCCCAUCUCUCAUGCAUGCCCCUUACUGAGUGGUGCCCAGACCCACCACUUUCUCUAUAUAAACACAUCCCUCGUUGAAACCUUUUCCAUCAUCACUCUCCAGACCUUCACUUUCUCUUCUCUCCUAGCCUUACUAAUUUUCUCAGACACUGAGUAGUCAUCAUGGGUAGCUCCGGAGCUGUGAAGCUAGCUUGUGUGAUGGUGAUAUGCAUGGUGGUGGCGGCACCGGCGGCGGUGGAAGCAACCAUAACAUGUGGUCAGGUGGCAUCUGCCGUGGGCCCGUGCGCUAGCUACUUGCAGAAAGGUGGUUCAGUGCCAGCUGGGUGCUGCAGUGGGAUUAAGAGCCUCAACAGCGCGGCUAAGACCACAGUUGAUCGCCAGGCCGCUUGUAAGUGCUUGAAAACCUUUUCUGGUUCCAUCCCUGGCAUCAAUUUCGGUCUUGCAAGUGGGCUUCCGGGCAAGUGUGGUGUCAGCGUUCCUUACAAGAUCAGCCCCUCCACUGACUGCUCCAAGUAUGCUCUAUUAAUCUCUCACUACUCAUGAUAUAUUUAUAUAGAAUUCAGCUUGAUUAACCAAUAAGAUUUCUGCGACUGAAUUUUUUUUUUUUGUGAAUGUGUUCAGGGUGACUUGAAGCAAAAGGUGGAGUAGGAUGAGCUAUGGUAGCAACUAGCAUAAGAAUAAAGAAGUGGAGGGUAGAGGCUCCACUUGGACCACUCAGCCUUUAGUAUUAGUAGUACUAGUACUGGCGUCAUAUUCCUCUCUGUGGUUGUAUGACAUCUACUGGAGCGGUUGCAUACUUGCAUGUAAUAAAUAUCCCUGCUGGUUGCUGGACCCUAUCAUAUUAUAUAACUUUUACCCUCUCUCUCUCUCUCUCUCUCUCUCUCUCUAGUGUCCAGGAAAGAGAAAAACACAGAAAAAAGAAAAGGAAACAAACAGGUCUCUGGAAUCAAAUUUAAGAUAACUAGAAAAAUAUGACCAUGAAACAAUAGGAAAGAAGGAUAAGAAAAAAAUAUUUUUCACAAAGUGGAUGUAUAGGCUUCUUUUAAUUAUAUAAAUACCUUUUAAAUCAUAAAAAUUCAUUAGACUCACCAUGGACAGUAUGCAUUAUGUGCAUGCUAUCAAAUAAUAUUGAAAAUGACUGAUGUCCAUGUGAGCUGACUAGCUUUAAUUAGUCAUAAUUAUAAUCUCAAAUCAAAGUAAAAAAAAAUUUAAUAUUUUAGAAGGGGCAUUGCACAAAUUAUGUUAAAUAUAAAAUGAUUUUCUAAACAAGCUUGAUUCUAGCCUUUAGAAGGUAACUCCCUCAUAAUUCAGCUUGGUGUGGUAAUUCCAAAGGGGGCUUUUACCAUGAGCCCAAUGUCGUGGCGAAGGUUAUACCUUAGAAAGUCAGUGAAGCUAAGGUUUCGUAUGUGUUAUAUCCUUUCGAUCGAGCGACAACUUCUAAGGAUCAUUCCCCUCCCCGGUGCUAGAAGGUCGGAAGGAGAAGUGUUAUAAGCUUUGAAUGGAAGCCCCGGUAAACGGCGGCAGUAACUCUACCUGUCCUAAGGUAGCGAAAUUCCUAGUAACUAGUUGUUUAUAUCGAACUCGAAAAUAUAACUUGACUAUUCGGGACAACUAGAGGAACAUUAUUGCCGGCACUAUCAAAGGCCGCUAUUCCAGACCAAAAGUAUGGAAUAGAGUAAGGCCUUUAUUAGAAAAGAUGCAUAAAAACAACUUAAAAAUACUUUUAAUUUAAGAUGGGGUUUAUUUUUUAAUUGAAUAGAAAAAAUCAAAAUAUUUAAUUUUUUCUAUUCAGUUAAAAAUAACAUAUUGAUAUCAAUCAAUAUAAAAAUAAAUUCAAUUUAGUUAUUGUUAAUAUCAACAUAUUACUUUUAACUUAAUAAAAAUAAUCAAAUAUUUCGAUUUUUUAUAUUCAACUAAAAAACAAACAUUACCUAAUACAAAUAUUGAAAUUAUGUAAUUAGAGACUAAGGAGACGAAAUUAAAAAGUGGCAAUACUUUUGUUAAUAAGUUUAUUUUAGUUAUAUUGAUUUAUAUUAUUACUUUUUUAAUAUAAAAAAAUCAAAUAUUUAAUAUAAAAAAAUCAAAUAUUUUAGUUUUUUUUUUAUUCAACCAAAAAACAAACACCUCAAAAUUGAAAUCAUAUAGUUAGAAACUAAAGACAUGAAGUUAGAAAGUGAUAAUUCUCUUAUCAACAAAUUACUUUAGUUAUAUUGAUAGAUAUUAGUAUAUUACUUUUAACUUAUCGGAAGAAAUAAAAUAUUUUAGUUUUUUCCAUCAUUUCAAAAAACAAACCCCAUGUAAGACAAGUAUCAAAAUCAUGUAGUUAGAGACUUGGGACGUGGGGUUAGAAAGUGACCAUACUCCUCUGUUAAGUUUGAAAAUAUGCAUUUGAAAAGAAUUUUGAAAAGAAAAAAAAAAAAAGUUAUGAAAGCAAGGUUAUCAGAAGGAUGCCUUGUUAAUUUUACUGUAAAUUCAGUCCUCGUAUUCAUCGGAGAUAAAAGCCUUUUUAGGUUAUAAUUUUACCUCCAAAUACAUUAAUAUUUGCUACCUCGUAGUGUGAUUGGGGGUCAACCAAAGAAUAGGAAUCAUGGGGAAUUUUGUGCCACACAUUUAUGUACGAAACUAAUAAAUGUAGCUCCCAAUUCGGGUGUAUACAUUUAUCAUUUCCAAGGUCUAGAUUAGCAUGCCUACCAAACAGUCUUUUCUUCAUUUUUGUGCAUUUUUCAAGGAAAUUGAUUUUUAUAUAAAAAUAAACAAGGUUGUGAAAUGAAAGUUCUUUUUGUAUAGCUUCUUGUGUUUAAUUUUAAGGGGAAGUUACACCUAAAACUAAUAUCAUAAUUUUUAAAGAAUAAUAUUGAUAUUAUAUAGUUUUAUUAAAUGUAAACCUUUUAACAUAAAUUAAAAUAAAGGUAAUGUGAAAAGUAAUAUUUUCUUAAUUUUCAUAUUUAAUUUUUUAAAAAUUAUAAAUUCCUUUAACAAAAUAAACCCAAUAAGUAUAAAAGUUCUUAUUGAGUUUAAAAAAAUAACUUAAAAAAGAUCAUCAAUUAAAAUUUCAUGUUUUGAUUCUUUUCAAUAGACAAGUUGAGACAUGUAAAAUUGAAUGCAUUAGCACGCUCUCAGCAAGUAAAGUAACAGAAUUUUCAUUAACUUCCUACUAUUUUUGAAACAAAUCUAAAUACCAUUUACUUCAAACAAAAACCAAGUUAAAAAUUAUCUAACAAUUUCAAAGAUUACACAAACAAAUUUUAGCUCAAAUUAUCUACUAAUCCACUUAUCAAAACAAAGUUAUUUUCUUAGUCAAGAUAAAUAUGGAAAAAUUAACUAAUAAAGAAAUAGAAAGAAUAAAGCAAUGACACCAAGAUUUAACAUAGAAGAUCUUUAAAGAAAUUAAAAACCAUGGAUCUAUAAAUGAUAAAAAAAACAUCCACUAUAAAUAGUAACAACUGUUAUAAGAUUUUACCUAACUCAAGUCCGUCAAUCCUUCUUGAAUCACUUGACUGAUACUUUUCCACUUCAUUUAUCUGUUUUUUUUUCCUUUCAAAACAUACUUAAAGUCCACAUUAAAUUUAAUCUUGACCUCUUCUUAAGUUCACACAAGACGAAAAUAGGAUUUACUUCAACCCAAUAACCCUAAAGAGAGAAUGGAUGAAAGAACCAAAAGAAUUAGUCCAUACUUUAAAAAAACCUCAAUCAAAAAUUGUUGUAAACUUCAAAAUGGAUAGGAGUUUCUUGGGAAACAAACACACUCAUACUCAGAAUGGGAGAGGAGUACAAUGGUUGUGUGUGACAACUAUUGGAGCCUCAACCCUAAAAUGAAGGUUUUGGAUUUAAAUAGGAAGGAAAACCUUAAUCUAAUGACUAAAAAAUAAUACAACAGUAGAUAGAUUGAUCCUGGAUCAAUCUUGGAACAAAGCACAAAAAUACGUAGUUAAAAAAAAACACAAAAGCUACCCAAGUCUCCUAAAACUUCUUUAAAGGAUUUUCACUAUUUUGAAAAUCCCGAUUGAUUUAAUUUUGCCCCUCCACUACCUUAACUACAUACCUUAGUCUCUAAAUACCUUCAACGCCUCAAAGUUCUUUAUUAGACAAAUAAUCGGAGGAAGGAUUUGAUAGACCCAAAUUAAGAGACCGCUCGUGAGCUCUUAGUUGCCCGAAAUUGCCAACUACGACACUCACAAUGGGGCACAACCACUUAGACUCACAACCCCACCUCAUUCCCAUGGCUGGCAGCAUAAUGCACUUAGAUUGCGCGCUCUCUACCACCAAAGCUUGUAGCAUUUUGUUACAUAAAUAUACUGAGCAACAGAGAAGGUAAUUGUUUUGAACUGCUUGGCAAAUUUGUUCUUUGAUAUUGGGUACAAAUGUCUCUUGUUUUUUAAAAAUUUAUAAAAAUAAUGCUAUUAAAUCUGUCAAUAAAAAAACAUUUGAUGGGUUGCUUCUAAAUAAAUGCGGAGCAACGUAAUACUUUUAGUUUUAUGACGUGAAGGCAUAUUAUCUGUCAAGGAAAUCCUACAAUACUCUGAUCAAUUUCGAAAGCAGGACUUCCACAAAGAGCUAACCGAUUUAUUUGCCUUUCUUUUCUCUCACUGCCACAUUGCUGAAUAAAUUAAAGCUUUGGAAAUGAAUAUUCAAUCAUAUAAGGCCUAUCAGGUUAGAUUGGACUUAGAACCAAUACAGCGCAAUGGGGUCUAAACCCAAUCUAAAACACUCAGAGAUCUGGAGUUUAUGGUUGAGUAAGCCCUGUUAUCAUUGGAAUUAACACACGUGAUUCAUUUUCUUCAAGCAGGAUCAACUGUUUGGCUCCUUUCCCAUUCAUCUCAGUUUCAGAUCAUAAUCAUUCCUCAUCUUAAAGAACUGCUUCUCUAUCCUAACCAUACGAGGUGUUUAUUUUGGGUUACUUGUCUGAUAUUUUUUAACUUAGAACAAUUCCUUAGUUUUGAUCAAGGAGUUGGACGUCAAUUUUUCUCACAAACGAAAACCAGCCAGAGAAAGAAAAACACAGAUCCGGGCACGGUAAAGAAGUAUCAGAGCAUUAAGCUAAGCAAUUGCAUACCCUCACACUUGCUCCUAUAGAAACAACCAAAGCUCACAGCAUUUUCAUCAGCAUCCAAACGUCUAAGCCUGCAUUUCUCUUUCGGUGCUAAAAGUUUUUGGGCAGAACAGCCAGUCACUCAUGAUGGCCAGUUCUAGAGCGCUUGAGUUGGCAGGGGCAAUGAUGUUUAUCUGCAUGGCGGUGGUUGCAGCACUGGCAGCUGAAUAAGCCCUAAUAUGUUAUCAGAUGAACAACACCUUCACCAAUGCAGUUCUUUCCUGAGGAACGGUGGUUCAGUCACAGCAGAAUGCUGCCAAGAAGUUAGGACCCUCAACAAUGGAGUUAAGAACACCAAAGACCGCCAGACCACCUGUGUGCUUGAAGAAGGGCGAUAUCCUCCAUUUAUGGAAUCAAAUUGAACUACCUCUCUGAGCUUCCAGGCAAAUGUGAAGUCAGCGUUCCAUACAAGAUUGACCCCUCCAUUGAAUGCCUGCAGGUAUUCAGGGCUCAUGGCUCUGUCUUCUGAGCAGUUGAGCAUUACUUUAAAAUUGAUGAUUUUUACUAUUGUUUUGUCAUUGUGUUGCAGGGUGAAGUAAGGUUGACAAGUUAACAUAUAUGGCACUCAGGAUAUAGUAGAUUGAGACAAAGAUGGACGGAGAGAGACCUAACGGGGACUCCUCUUCAUCCCAGAAAAAAAAAAAGAAAAAAGAAAAAAAGAGAAUGCCCAAAUAUUGCAUCUUUUGCACUACAAAUGUACUGGAUUUGCAUUCUAAUAAAAUAUAUCGUGCCUCAAGCACUUUUAAGUGUACUGGAUCUGGAUUGAAUGUGGUAAACUGUUCCAAUUGUAAUAUUAUCUGGAAUAUACUCAAAGACCACCAACAAAUCACAUCCAAAAAGAUGCAGACAGGUGAAAAUGAGUCAAGGGAUUUUUUUUCCUGUUCUUUUUGCCCCUCUUUUUCAUGACUACAGGCUUCUGAACCCUAGUCCUUGAGACACAGGACUAAUCUCAAUCAGGUAAUCACCCACAAACCCAAGAGAAGAAUUUCUCAUUUGCAUGGCAGGGCCAUGGUUUUUGGUUUAGAAGAUCAACUUAGCCAUCUAAAAGGAAGUAUAGAUUAGCUCAGGUAAUGUGUGGUAAAUAGCAGUUGACAAAUAGACAAACAAAAUCUAGAGAAGAUAAGGGAUUCUAGUUUCAGAGCUGAUUUUGCAAGUUUGCUAAUAGUGCUUAUAAGCUCAAGAAAUAUAAUAAUAUUAAUAUUUGAUCAUCCAAAAAGAACCUAGUGAAUUAUAAGAUGAUAAGAAGUUCAUGGGCAUCUAGCACAAAGAAAAAAAGAAGAAAUAAUAAUGGAGCACCAGUGCAGCACCAUACCUCUUCUUUAAAUUAAGCAUUGAAAUGGGAACCCUGCAAGAAAAGAACUUGCGACUCAUCAUACAACUAAAAAUAAGAAAUGGGAUUGGAGCUUCUCUUUUUGGAUUCAUACCUGCCAGAAAUUUAUUGACUAGAAUUUGUCCUUACAGGAUGUUUUACUCUUUCUAAAUCAGUCACUGUGCUCAAUUGUAAACAAAGUGCUCCACAGCAGGUUGUGGCUCUCGCAAGCAUGAAGCGAAUGCAGAGCUGAGAUAUUGUUGAUUAUCAUUCAACACAAAAGCUCAUGGCUUAAAUAAAACAUCUUUCAGGAAACUGUGUAUGUGUAUAUGAUUAUAUACAAAGGCAUUACUAAUUGUCAGCAAUUGGAAAUAUGGGAAGAAAUAGUUCUAAUGCUAAAAGAAAAGGAUAAGGUGCAUUUAAUUGGAUAUCAAUACAUUAUUUUACCUUUUGAUGGUAGUCUACAUUUCUCCUGUGGCAUUUACAUCUUCAUCAAGUAGAAGUCUCUCUAGCCGAGACACAAGGUUAUUUGAGGAGAAGCUUAAAAGUUCAUUAUCUCUUCUCAGGUCAUUCACUUCCUUAUUUAAAUCUACAAUCUGCCCUUCAAGCUGCUGGCUUGAUAAAAGCUGGUCUCCUAAUAUAUUAUUUUCUCUUCUCAGUUUGUCUAUCUCUUCCAUUAACUUCAUAUUUUGCUCUUCUAAUAACUGAUAUCUUGUUCUCAAGUCAUCCUCCUGAAACACGUAUUUCAAAUAAAUAACUGAUGGGAUGAAAAACAAAUAAAAAAAAGGCAAGAAAUAAAGAUAUACAUACAACACUAAUGGUAAAAUUCAUGGAAGAAUUCUUUGAGGUUGAUGGAUGCUGCAUUUGCUCUUUUGGUUCCUCUGAAACACAACAAGAUGCAGAUGGGCAUCCUGUUGCAUCUGUUAACACUUCUACUACAUUUUCUGGUGCCCUCAAAUGCUCCAGAUUGUUUUCUUGUAUCCUGUGCCCUUCUCUGACUAUUUCCCUUUCUGACCCAUUUUCAACUGCUUGUUUAUCCAUCAAGUGAGAUCUGAUUCUCAAGUUAUCAUCCUGUUAAAUGAAAGAAGUUCUGUCACAAAAACUCAAUAAAAUACUUCAAACAAGCAAGAAGAAUGUUUACAUUGGCAAGAGAAGCCCCCUCCUUUCUUACAUUUUCUUUUAAAAGAAAUAAAACUAAGGAAAAGAACUCACAUCAACAGUCAACAUAAUAGAUGAAGGAUAUUCAGGUUUAGAAACAUCCGUCCUGUCAUUUUGUGCAGCUAUUAACUCUUUGAUUAUAUCAAUUUCUAACUCCUCAGAAGUCAGUUGAAGUUCCCAAGUUAUCUGAUAACAAACAGAAGUUGUCAGCACCUACCUAACAAAAUUAAAACAAACAGCAGUUCAGUUGGAUACAUCAUGAGCUACCAUAUCAAAUGGGUGUCAUGUUAGAACACUAUGGCUAACUCAGUUAAAAGUUUUUGAGGUCUAAAAACAAGCAAAACACUUUUUUGUUGUUUCAAUCAAUAUGCAUAUGCAGGAGACCACAGGACCUAUACUACCACUACAUAAAUUAAUUGUGAAUAUAAAAUCAGUUUAGAUAGGUCUCAUUGCCUGAUUUUCCUGCAGUUCCUUAAACUUUGUAGUGAUCCAUUUUCUUUGAUGUGACCUACAAUUUUCCCAUCGGCAUGCACGGGGAAACGUCAAGUAGCAAUCUAGCAAACUAGGCCGGGCAAUGUCAAUAUGCUCAUAAGACCAUAUCUGUUCAGAACAAUAUAACCAAGGUCAAUAUUGUAAUGAUGCAUAAUAGUUACUUAAAAGAUAAAACAGCCCUUAUAAAUUUUUGCAUUAUACUUGGGCACACCUUAAAUCCUCUGGCACCAAUUCCCCAUGCUGUUUUGCAUAAAUAAUCAAGCAAAACACUGUGCUCCCUACUCAGCCUCUCUUGUGCUUUUAUUUCGCAAAAAUUUUAGGAAGAAAGAGAGAAGAUGGAGGGAGGAAAGAGUGUUGAGGUUGUGUAUGUAAUGUCAUAAAAAAGAUGCUCCAAAUAUUUAUGUGAAGACUAUAGGGAUAGCUCCUUGACUAAACAAGAAACAUAUGACAGAGAAUCAAGAAAUAUUAGAGAUAGAGUUGAAGAAACUUACUUGGAGAAAUAUAAGACAACUUCCUACAUAUUGUACAUUCAUUUCCUUUUUUUUGGACAACCACUUAAUUAUGUCCUCUAGAACAGCUGCACCCCAGGCCAGUUGAUGCACAUUAUCCAAGUCUUUGAGAACAGAAAGAUAUCGGGAAUCUACUUUUCCAUUUGCAUUUGGAAAAAGAAAUGUCCCAAAUGUAAAUAAUAAAAAAGCUCUGGCAAAAUCAUCAUUAGCUAUCUCACCAAUGGACUCAAGUUUAUUCUCAAUCGACGAAACCAUGAUUUUCCUAUUUGAAAUAGUAGCACCAUAUUCUUUUUCUAAAUCUGAAAAAGGUUCAUCUUCCUUUAAGACUACGGAAUCACCCAUUACACGUAGUCCCAGAAUGAGUGCAACAUCCAUGAGAGUAAUUGUAAUCUCCCCAGGAAGAAGUAUGAAAGCAUGCUUCUCACAACUCCACCUUUCCAUUAAUUCAACUAAAAGAUUCUUGUUAAGUGUCUGAAUAGGCAUCUCAAGGAGAUGCCCAAAUCCCAUCUUCUUUAUUGCAUUUCUUUGAUCAUCUGUUAGUUUCUCCACUCGCCUGACAAAUGAUGGCAAGGAAAACCUGGUACUGAAAUUCCCAACCUGCAUGCAUAUAUUAAGUGCACAUUUUUAUUGACAUAAGUGUGUGUUUUCCAUAAUCCUGCAUAUGUCAAUUAUAUGUGUGCUUUAUCUAAGGUUUUAUGUAUGUCACAAAACUAAAAAAGCAUAAGUUAAAAAUUUUUUCUCAUUGCCACUUGUCUUUUAGAGAAGUUCUAUUUACCUACCACCAAUUCUGUUUUUCUUUUUCUGAGUUUGUUUUUUCACUCUAUAACCAAAAUUCUCUUUCAGAUGUCAUCCACAAGUUCAAAAACACUGAAUAAACCAAAUCAACCAAACACUUUGUCCUAUCCUUAGUAACCAUGUCAUUCAAGCUUGAAAGAAGUAGAUAGCUUAGGAUACUGAGUUAUAUUCCAAAACACUUUGUCUAUUUACCCUUGUUGUAUUGAUCAUUUUUGCAUCUUAAGUAAUGAUAGCUUAGAUAGAAUCAGUAUUGAUUAAUACAAGACAAUCCAAUCAAAUACGCAAAAGACAACAUCCAACAAAGCUGAACAGCAAAAGAGGAUGCUUGUUUAGUGCAUAUUGUGAUAAUAUAUUAACAGAAGAGUGUGAGAUGGACAAGUGGAAAGAACCGAGGAAGUUAAGACAAAUAUCAAAUGCAUUUAAGAAGCAUCAAAACCAACACUGCUUGUGCUUUUAAAGUAUAUGAAGUUUGAUCACUAUGUUUUGAAAUGUUAUAUAUCCUUUCAAAAGUUUCACUCUUUUAUACAAAAGUAGACAGGUGAGAACCUCUUCAGAAAAUUUCAGCAAGCCAGAAGGGAGCAGGUUGCAAGUGCAAGACAGAGGUACUAGAGGGGCAGUAUGAAGCUAGGAAAUUGAUGACAUUCAGUAGAAAAACCUGCUAUGCUGAUGACCAAUUGGUGAGAUGAUGAAAAUUAUCUCAUCAAACACAAAUUCUUGACAAUGCAGAAAAUAGAACCAUGCAUAUAAAGGUAUAAUGCUGUUGAAUGAAUGAGUGUUGCAAAUGUUUUGCUUGAGUUUGGUUGUUUGAUUCCCAGAAAGUAUUAAGAAAAUUUUAAAAAAAAUAUUAAGGAAAAUGAUUUAUGCACAUUUUGUUUCACUAUGAAAAAUAGUGCAAGAAAAUCAAACACAAUUAAAAUUAGUUAAAAAAUAAUGCAUUUUCCCUCAAAUUUUCCGGAACCAAGAAUGGCUUAAGGUAUAUAAUUUCCAAGUCUUUGUUUACUGCUACUAUAGAACUAUAUUCCCUUCAAUUUUUUUUUAUUUUUUAAGUUUCAAUUGAAAAGAAUUCUACUUUAGGGUUAUGAACGUUCAAUAGGUCUUCUACAGCAAUUUUGUUGUUAGGUCAUGGCAAAAAUACAUGCUUUUUAUAAAAAUAAAAAUAUGGGGAAGACUAGGUACCAUGAGACCAUCCUGAAGUGCCAAUUCAUGACACCCAGGAUUCAAGUCCCUGUAUGGCCACUUCCACAAACUCAUCCCUUCCAGAAUCCCAGAAACAGGGCCACGAAGCAAUGGAUUUUAUGAGCCUUUCAAUCACAAAAAAUGCACUCAGAUCACAAUUUGCUCAAACAAAAAUUGAUACUCUCCACAUGUGUUUCUACGAAUCGCUACUCCCACAGACACAAAAUGACUAAUUUCUGUAAUUUCCAGGUCCAGGUCUCCACAUCAGCCAAGUGAAAUUUCUAAAUUUUUUUCCCAAAUUGAUAUCACAAAAUUUUAAAAAAUAAAAUAAAAUAAAAUAAAGAAAAGGGGGAAAGAAAGAACGAAAUACUUACCGAGCUCCGUUCUUCUUCUAAUCCUAUGGAAGAUUUCCUCGUCGCUCUCUUCAUCUCAACCCAAUCCUUUCACACUCCUACUGUGAACCCUAACUUUCUCAGGGCUUGAGAAGGAAAAGAACAACCAUUUGAAAAUCUUAAUAAAUCUUACUCGGAUAAUUUUUAUUUUUUUAUUUUAUUUUUGUGAAACUUGUGAUGGAAGCUUACAGGCAAAGUUAAAACUAAAAAGGGCGCGAAAAAAUGGCGGGACAUGAUUAGGUGCUUUGCGUUCACAUACGUGGCUUCUGGUGAUUGCAGUGCAGGUAAAAAUUUCGCUGACAAGGUUACCAUCCGUAAUUGGAUUUUGUGGUCCUUGUUGGAAGCUUUGAUUGAUUUUAAAUUUUAAAAUGAAAUUUUCAUGAUAAAUUUAAAAUGUAAAUUUUUUUUUUUUUACCACAAAUAAUAAAUAUUAAAAUUAGAUUUUUUUUUCCAUUUUUGGAUUCUUAAAGACAUUUUCUGUAAAUAAUAUUUUUUGAGUUUCAUUAAUAAUAUUAAAAAAUGUAUAUGCUUAGCGGUGUAAAAAAAUAUACAUAUUAAGUUCCCAAAAAGUAAAAGAUUGUAUUUUAAAAUCACUUUAUUGUUAUUAAUGAUAAUUAAUAAAGAUGAUUCACAAAAACAUGCUAUCAAAUAAUACAAUAUCUUAGAUUUGUCAUAUGUUUUGUGCCAAAAAAAUGUGUCUGAAAGUCCCAAAAAAAGGGUAAAAAAUGAAUUUUAAAAGCAUUUUCUUAUCAUUAACAAUAAUUAAUAAAAAUAAUACCACAAAAACAUGCUAUCAAAUAAUACAUUAUCUAGAUUUAGACAUAUCUCGAUAUUAGUGGUGAUGAUGUGCUUACAAUAUGGUUAAAAAUCCCAUAGAGGUGUACCCUACAUCUACAAUCUAAAAGUCCUCGUUCAAGACCUGGAGAAAGAAAAAGAAAUAAUAGCAUGUGUGUCUACGCAUAUGCACAUUUGUACUGUAAUGCCCGGCUAAAAUCAUAAUUUAGAAAUUAUUAAUUAAUUAAAAUAAUUUAAUAAGGGUAAAAAAGCAUUUUCGUAUUUAAAACACCUAUAUAUAUAUAUAUAUAUAUAUAUAUAUAUAUAUAUAUAUAUAUAUAUAUUAUAUCUUUCCUAUAUUUUCUAUUCAAAAAAUCCUUUUACACAUAGAUCAAAAAAAUCAGAGAGCAUAGGGUUGAAGGUUUGAAGGUUUAGGGUUUGAAGAUCAAUUUUUCAGGUAAGAUUUUUAAUCUUUAAAUUAAUAUUUUAUAUUCGUUAACUAGUUAUAAACACUUUAGAUAUUCUUUGAAAUAUCUUAAUUUUGAUUAGAGUUCAUUUAAUUAAUUUAUAGGUCAAAAAGAUUAAAAAUUUAUUAACAUAGUUUGAUUUAUUAAUGAAGAUCAAUAAAUUUUGAUUACUCAAAUGAAUAGAUUUAGAAAAAAAAAUUAAAAAAAUUAUAUAGUUUUGGAUGUGAAAAUUACAUAAAAUUGUGAGUAUAGAGGUUAAAAGUUUUGACUUUAGAGAGUGGAAAAAAAUGAUGAAAGAAGCGUAGGAAGGAUUUGACGUGUUGAAAAAAAAAAAAAAAGAAUUGCAUGAGGGAUUUGUUAAGUUUAAGUAGGAGAUUUAAAUAAUAGUAAUAAUAAUUUAAUGCAAAUAAAUAUUCUUAAAAGAUUUAUUUUAGAUAAGUUAGAAAAAAUGAAAUAAAUUAUUGUUUAGGAAGUUGAAAAUAAUAUUGGAUGGUAAUAAUAUUAAUAUGGGAAAUUAAUUAAGAUACCUAAUACUAAAUAAAAUAUUUUUGAGAUUGUCAAACUUACAUAUUUAGAUAAAUAAUCAAUAAUCAAUAUUGUGUAUGAUAUUAUGUUAGGUGAGGAGAAAAUUAUUCAGAGUUAAAUACUUCAAGAUUUUGAGUGCUUUUUCAAGGUAAUGGAAAUUAAUGUUAAAAAAAAUAAUUUUCUUUUUAUAUUGUAUUAUGAAAAGUGUAAAAAUAUUAUUUUUAUCUUUUUGUAUGGAUCAAAUAUGUGUUUUGUAUGGAAAGUAUAUUUGAGAAUCUUCUUUAUUUAUUUAUGAAAAGCGAAAAUUUUUUGAGAUAUGAUAUUUUGUUUUGCAAGUUUGAAUUAAUGAAAUAAGAGAAAAAAUUUGGAGAUAUGAUAUUUUGUUCUGCAUGUUUGAAUUAAUGAAAUAAAGUGUUUAACUCUAGUUCCUAUGGCCCUAGUCAACGGGUUAUAAUUGUUGACAUUUCUAUGGCCCUAAUCAACGGGUUAUAAUAGUUGAUAUUAUAUGACCCUAGUCAAUGGGUUAUAAUAGUUGACCUUAUAGCCCCUAGUCAACAGGUUAUAAUUGUUGACUUUUGGUGUUAUUCACCUUAAAUAGAACAAAUUUGAAACUAGUCACUUAUUUGUGAAGUCCCACCUAAUUGGGCACCAUUUGUUAUUUAAUAAUCAGAGUAAGAUAUUUUGAAUGCAUUUGAUUUGGUUUUGAUGAGAAAUUGUUUUGAAAUGGAUAUGAGAAAGUUUGUUGAAAAGUUUGAAUAUAUUAGUAUUUCGAACUCAAAAGUUUUUAUGAAAAUAAGUAUAUGUUAUAUCUCCUAUUUGCAAAUAUGAUUAAAAAUAUUUAAUCCAUGAAACUGCAUUGAUGUUCCUUAUUGAGUUUUAAGUUUAUGCCCCUUCGUUGAUAAUUUUUCAAGUACUUUUAGUUCGGGCGAGGAGUGAUGGCUAGGCUUAGGAAUUUUUCUUUGUUAGGUCUUUGGUUCAAACUUUUUUUUUGGACAUUGUUUAGAUCUUAAAAUUUAUUUUCCAUUUAAAUUAUUUGAAUUUGGAGUUAUUUGGACAAUAACACUCUGGUUGAUGUGUUAGUUUUUUUUAAGUUGAUACUUGGAGAUUUUAGAAUUUUGUUCUACUACUCUGAACAGGAAUUUGGUAAUUGGUAAAUUUCCAAUUACAAUACGAAUGUUUGUGUCGUUUCCACUUUGAGUCAUUGGGUUUGAGGUGUGAAAUGACCGUCAUAACCUUGUAGUGGGUUUUGGGGCGUGACAUGUACAUAGAUCUUCCAUUUAUUUUAAAUCUAGAGAAGAAAAGAGCCCUAUUUUUAAUAAAACACUUAGGGGGAAAGCUCGAUUGAUUAAGCCUAAACUAACAUCCCUUGUAUUUACUCCAUCAUAAUACAAACUAGAUAAAUCAAAUGAACCUAAUCACAAUUUAUUUUGUUUAAGUAGCCUAACAAUGGACUUAUAUGUUGUUAGUCCAAUGGUUUUCCUAAUCACAUUUUAAUGAUAACAAGCCAUGAUCACUAUACUAGUAAUUUAAAAUCAAGAUGAGUUUCAAGUUUUAUUUUGAGAAAUUCAAAUAAAAAUUCAAGAUAAUCAUCAAAGAAUCAAAGAAGUGCAAGUCCAAGGGUGCAUGAAGACUGUUCAAGCCUAGGAAUUCUUUGUAAGAUGAAUAAAUGGGUGCACUUAGGAUUUUCAUAUAAAAUCAUGCAUUUUUCAAUACUUGAUUUUUCAUUAAAACCCGAGUAUUCUCACAUGAUCCUUAGGCAAAUUAAUUUAAACUUGACUUACUAAAGUACCUAUAAACCUUGACUAAGUCUUAGAAGGAAAAAAAAAAUUAAAAAAUCUAAGUUUUUAGGUCAAAAUAGGUGAAUCAAAGAAAUUGCUCAUCAGGGAACCAAUCGAUCAAUUAAGCCUUCCUAGUAGAGGACCAACUGAGGAAUGCAAAAAAAAUUUCUCUCUCAUUCAAUAGUUAUGCAGUCCUAGUUGAUAGGAACCUUUCUCGGUCAAGGGAAAGCUCUUUCUAAUUGAGGUUUGGUCUAGGGUCCAAUAAUCACUUGUUGUGCAUUUGGUGCACAACAGUUAGUCAACUGAUUGAAUUAGAGCUCGACUAGACGAGGCUAGGUUAUGCCACUUUUGGUGUCCAAGCUAGAAACCUAUAAAUUGAGAGUUUCAUUUCAUUUACUACAUAGAAAACGUCUGUAAUUAUCUUCACAGCUACUUGUUUCUCAUUAAAAGUUUUUUCAUACUUUGUGCAUUGAUUCUUCAUUUGCAAACCACCUUAGCACCUUUGUCAUUCAUCCUAGCUUUCUUUUGUAUUUGUUCAUUUAUUAAGUUAGGGUAAUAUCUUAUUUCAUUGAUUAUUAAAGAGAGGUUGCGAGUAUUUAAAGUUUUAAGUUGAGGUAUACUUGAAGGGAUAUUGUUGCUAGGAACCCUAGAUUUAUCCAUUCCUUUACCCUGAAUUGUAUAGGUGCAUGCAAAACUACCAUAGGUCGCUAGAUCCUAUACAAGGAAAGCAAAAAAUAGAUUUUUACAAUUCUAGGAUCAAGAGGAAAGCCAUUAGAGAAAUUUACCUUUGAUUUGGAUGUUCCUAAAUCAAUUCCGCUUGGUGAAGAUGAAGAAUAAUGAAUCUAAAAGUCUCGUACACCCAAGAUCUUUCUCCUUAUGACUCGAACCAUGAUCCCAACACCCCAAAAUGUGGACUUUGGAAAUGAUGAUCUCUUGGCUCUCACUAUCUCUCUUUUUUUUUUGAGGUGGAAGACACUGUUUAUCUUAAAGUUGUGGAAACCCUAGCCCCUAUGGGGUAUUUAUAAGGUUCCCCUAUUGGGCUCACUAAUUUGAACUCACCAAGGCUUAGGUUACUUAAUUUAACCCAAAAUUGGUCUUAAUUGAUUAAUUAACCAUAUAAGGUCAUCUAAUUUAUCAAUUAGUCCAAUCCAGAGAACUUAUUCAGUAUCUCUUAUGCAACCUUGUGUAAUCACCAAAACACCCUUAUGCACAAGAAUGAACCAAGAGUCAAUUCAUCUUUCAUAAAUCAUGUCAUUAUGGUAUAUGAGCUUAAAGUGGAGACCAUUGGGACCCAUAGAAGUACUAUCUCUUUCAAAAUCCAAUUUUGAAAUUUAUUCAACAUUCCACCAAAGAGAAUCAAUUGCACUUCAGUAUCUUAAGUAAUUAAAAACAAGAAGAAGCUCGGGGUCCAUGACCUAUUAUACACCAUAUGCAAAUUUAUCAUGAAUUGAUGUUCGUAAUCUAACAAGGUAGUGCUAUCAUCUAUUAAGAUUAUCUCUUCAAUUAUUGAGUUAUAAAUUCCAUUUAUUAUGUGAUCAAUUGAGAUAUUAUAACUCUAAAGAGCAUAUAUCAAAUUUCCACUAAAUGAAAUGUUAUGACCAUAGUUUUCUAGAUCACAUGUCCUUUGAAUCACCCAAUGAGACACAUUGUCUCAAUCCAUGAGAUAUCAUGGUGUCUUUAUUGAGACUACCUAUUACCACCAACCUCCAUCAAAAGUGGCUCAAUCCAUAGGGAUAUAUAACCACUUUAGGAUCUCACUCAUAGGUUAAAACCUCUUGUUAACUUUGGCGCAUGCUCAAUAUCCUCUUAAGGUUGAGAGUUAAUGCAGUAUAGUAGUCUGGUGAAUCAUGAAAAUUGAUAGCCUUAUGUCAUGAUUCACCGUAGGUCCAAUCCAAUGCUCAUCAUAUGCGCUAGUACACUCAUUAUAGGAAAAUCAUCCUGACAACCAAGACAAAUUAUCCCACUAAUUAUGAGGUAGUAUACUACAGUCUCAGAUGGAUAGCCCAAAUCCAUGAACCUACUAUGAACAACUCAUCACUCUACAAGGAAUCCAUGACUUGAAUCUUCUGUGCAACUCCUAAUGCACCCAAGUCAUGUACAAUGUAAGUGAUGUAAGGUGUGUAUGUUCAAAUAACCUAUUAAUACAAAUGAGAUAUUUAAGGGAAACUAAGAAACAUAAAUAAAUAAAUUUAUAAAUGAAUUUCAAUCUGUUACAUCAUAUCAUGCUUUCCAAUGCUCAAUCCCAACAAUUGUAAUGUCCAUUGGAGCCAGAAACCAAGUGUAGAGCAUUGGAACCUUUGAAGCUUGAGGAGAGUGAACGUAUAUAAGAAGUAUCGAACCACUAUAAAAACUAUGUUUGCUUUCACUAUAGAUCUCUUUAUUUAUUCCUUUUUAAUUUGUUUAAAUUUGGUAUGUUUGGAAAAGAUUUUUAAAAACUCAAUUCACAUCAUCUUGGGUGAUUUUCUUAAUUGAUUAGCCUUAAAUCCACGUAUGUAAAUAAUAUUUUUUUUCAUUAUUGUUUGUGUUUCACAUAACUUUAUUAUUUAAUAAUGAUUUUUUUUCUUCAUGUAGGAAGGAGAUCAUAUUAUUAUCACCACUAGGAGUUGUUUAUGCUAAAGACACUAUAACUCAAAGCUUUUCUUCCAAUUUAUUAAUAUUUCAACAUUUGAUGUAUUGGGCAAUCAAGUUAAAUACUUUAAAAUUUUCAUGCUAUUUCUAUUUAUAUUUCAAACUAUAUAUAUUAUUGACAUAUAAAAAAUAGUUAAUUAAAGUUUAGAUGUAUAAUCAUAGUGAACAAAAUAAGUGUAGCAAAAAUCACAUGCACUUGCCAAUCACCCCCUCAAACUUUAAAUCUUACGUCCACCAUUCUCUUCAGGUUUUGGGCUAGUCAAAACAUGUCCUAAAUUCACUAUAGAAAUUGCAAAAAAUAUCAUUUCCUACCAUCUAUUAAAGAAUGUUUCAUUAAAAGAAUCGAUUUUAGAGGUAUCGGGACGAGUGUGAACUACGGAAGUUUUUUUUAACAAAAAAUAAAAUAAAAAUUGAUAUACUUUUAAGAUUAUUGAAAAAAUUAGGUCUAAAAAAAUUAUGCUAAACUAAAAUUAACCAAGCGCAAACAAAUAGGAAAAUAAAUUCUAAUUAGGGUAUCCAUCAUAUUUGCCUUAGGUGUGACAAACAUUAUCUUUAAAGUAGAUCUACACUCCUCGAGUAUCAAACUCGGUGCAAUAGAGAACUAACGUCUUACUUUCAUAAUUCAAUAACCAAAAUCCUUGCUUUAGGUGCACACCUUUAGCAAGGAAUAAUACAGCUCAAUCUUAUAGAAAUUCUUCUAAAUGAAAAGUUGAAAAUAUUGGAAUUAGGGUACAACAACGUUCAAGUAUUACAAUAGAGUAUGGUACUACACUAACAAAAGGAGACGUAGUGCUGAAAAAUGGCUACAGUAGAUAGUAGAUGUAAUAACGAUAGACAAUAUAACGAUAAUUUGGUUACUAGUUGUAGUCAAGGUUUGAAAUAUCAAUAAACACGAAUAUAUCGGUACUUGAAUUUUACGGAUAUAUUAAAAAUAUUGGUGGAUAUUUUGACAAAAAUAUCAAUGAGGCGAAAAUUAUUCAAAAUUUAUGAAAAUAUUUGGAAAAACUUCAAAAAAUAAUAAAAUUAAUUAAUUAAAAUAUGUAUGUUAAAAUUGUUUUCUAAGUGUAAUUAACAUAGAUAUGGUCAAAGAGAAAAAUAUUGGUAAGUAAGGAUAUAUUGGUCUUAAUAAUUUAUUAUUUACCUAAUAUAAUUAAAUUAAAUUUAUAAAAUAUUAGAACUUCAUUAUUAUUAUUAUUAUUAUUUAAUAUUUUAGUAUUUUAAAAUAAAUUUAUAUUUUUAAUAUUUUAAAAUAAAACAUUAAAAAUUAAAUAAAAUUAAAAGGAUAACUAUAAAAAAAUUUAAAAGUUAAGUGACGGUAUUUUUUUAAAAAUGGGAUUAAUGAGAUAAAUGAUGAUACAUUUAAUAUUAAAGCUAUAAUUUAUUUAAUUCAAAUGUAUUCAAUAAUGUAAAAUAAAUUAUGAUGUCUAUAUGAUUUUUUAAUUUUUAUAUUUUUAUAUUUAAUUAUCAUAUAAAUGAUAUUAAAAAAUACUUGUUAAGAAAAUUAUAAUGAUGGUUUUUAUACAUUUAUUAAUCAAUUAAAUAAAAUUUAAAUAAAAUAAUUAAAUUUUUUUUUUUUAAUAAUGAACUUUAACAUAUUUAUUAUUAACAUAUAUUAACAAAUGAGAACUUGGCCUAGUGGUAACCAGGCUUGAACUCAAUAAAAUUUGAAAUUUGAAGGGGCUUGACGUGUUGACCAUGUUUGACUUACCAAAAAAUCGGUAAAAAAAAAAAAACGUAGCCAAUUUAUAGAAGAAGGAUCCUAACAUUUUAAACCAUGGUUAUGAUGCAAAAGAAGUAGCUAAUUUAUAGGAGAAGGAGAUUACAGAGAGGAAAGGAGAAUGAAUAACUCUAAUGAGAAUGAGCCAAAUCAAUCUAAUAAAUUUCAAAUGUUAUAAAUGUUUAUAACAUUUAUUAAUCAAUUAAAUAAAAUUUAAAAUAAAAUGAUUAAAAUUAUUAUUAUUUUUUAAUAAUGAGCUUUAACAUAUUUAUUAUCAACAUAAAUUAACAAAUAAGAACUUGGCUUAAUAAUAACCAAGCUUGAACUCUAGAAAAUUUGAAAUUUGAAGGGGCUUGGCGUGUUGACCAUGUUUGACUUACCAAAAAAUCGAUAAAUGUCGAUGAAAUAUCGACGAUAUUUUAGCGAAAUAUCCAGACAUUCCAAACCAUGAUUACGAUGCAAAAGAAGUAGCCAAUUUGUAGGAGAGGGAGAUUACAGAGAGGAGAGGAGAAUGAAUAACUUUAAUGAGAAUGAGCCAAAUCAAUCUAAUAAAUUUCAAAUGUUAUAAAUGUGAGGGGCCCUCAUGUAGUAACCAAGCUUGAACUCAAGAAAAUUUGAAAUUUGAAGGGGCUUGAUGUGUUGACUGUGUUUGACUAACCAAAAAAUAAAAUAAAAAACAGAUAAAUGUCAAUGAAUAUCGAUGAUAUUUUAACGAAAUAUCCUGACAUUUCAAACCAUGAUUACGGUGCAAAAGAAGUAGUCAAUUUAUAGGAGAGAGAUAUUACAAAGAGGAGAGGAGAAUGAAUAACUCUAAUGAGAUGGAGCCAAAUCAAUCUAAUAAAUUUCAAAUGUCAUAAAUGUGAGGGCCCUCAUGUAGGAUGUGAGGGGCCCAAAUUCCCACUAUAAUGGGUUUGAGCCCCUUGGAUGUGCAAGGCUCCCACUCACCUCUCCACAAGCUCAUGAGGCUAAGUGAGGUAGAAUAUAUACCUAUAAAAGUACCUGUUCUUUUCCAAUAUGGGAUAGACACUUUUUAUAUUUUUUUUCAUUUUAAAGAACACUUAGACACAUUCUCUUCCAAAACUUGACACUAUAUAAAUGGUGAAAUCUUCAAAAUUGUGUGAACAAAUUUUAAAACUAUAAGAGUUUAUUACACUCAAAACAAACAAUAUCCAUAUGAAAAGGAUUGACUCAUUAUAAAUGGUAUAAAACUAUGUUCCCGACUUGGUAUAAGACUCUGUUGGAGUUGUAAGAAGCAUUUGUUUGUUUGAAUCCAUGAUCCCAUGGGAUAAGACAAGAAUGUCAUGUUUGCAUGAAAGGAAGAUUAUGAAAUAAAGUUAAUUUUAUUCACAUCUCUUGAGUAUUAAUUGAGUUAAAUACAUCUAGCUAUUAUUAAUUUGAAAUUUUAUCAAAUACUUCUCAUACCUUUUCUAUUUGUUAUUUUAAGGGGAUGUGAGUGAAAUUUACCUUUAGAAUAUAUUACAUUAGUUAAAAAGAAAAAGUUACCAAUACUAUAUAUGUAAUCAACUCAUCUUAACUUUAUAGAGAACUUUUGUAACCAUAAAACCUCUUAGCAGAAAAUGGGUGUUACCACCCGUGAUCAACAAAAGAAAAGGAAUAACAAUACUCUUUUUUGUUUACACUAAUAUCAAUAAAUAAAACCUCAUCCUAUAUCUAUAAAUAUAAUGGUAGAAUAAAAGGAAAGAGUACUCUAGUAUUGCCCUCUCCUUUACUCAUUGAUGCUUUAAUUUGGGAAAAGCCUUUCAAGAGUUGAAAACUUUUUCAGAAAAUUAAUGUUGAUGCAAAUUAUAGGCCAACAUCUAAAAAUCUCAUCCAUUGCCAUGAAAUUAUUUUGCACUCACUUUCUGAAACGAGCCCAUGACAUCCUGAAUCCUAUCCUUUAUAUGAGCAAGUCUCACAUGGGAAUUAUCCUCAUUUGUGGGCCAAUGGUUACAAAAGCAUAUCUGUUCACCACUCUACUGUGGUCUCCCAUGGCCCCCAACUCUGUAAAGCUUCUUGAAUUGGCUAAGCACAGAGGCCAUCGCUUGAUCAAUGCAGUGAAACCAUGUUUCACUGCUAUUUUACUAUACUACACCGAAGUGUUUUAAUGGCCAGCAACCAAGGCAGACCAUGACUGGUGGAGACUGGACAGCAGUUGAACCAUUUCCACCUAUUGGGUUGGUUGGGUCAAAACUCCCAUCGAAUGUUUGGUGACUCUUGGGCUUGACCCCAGCUCACCCAUCACCUAAGCUCAGAUAUUAGGUUAUCUUCUUCUGAUCCCAAUUGACAUUCACAUAAUAUAUAGAAAAAAUCAUAUUUUUUCCAACCCCCAACAGUUUCUCAUUCUAUCGUACCUAACUUCAUAAAUAAUCAAGUCCAGUACCCAUACGGCUGUGAUGAAAUCUGAAUGCAAAGGUGUUAACCAAGAAGGUCCAUGUGUUAGAUCUUGUCCAAUCAAGGGUCCACCCUCAAGGGACACAAGCUAAACCUACCAUAAUUAGCGGCUACACGUGCCACCGGUUCCACCGGCCAUUGCGGAUCGGGGCAUUUGCUGACCACAAGAUGGUCGAUCACUUGCUCACGUAUGAUAUGAGUGGCCCAGAAACAGACUUUAAGGUUUAGUCCCUCUCGGACUGGUGCAGAUCCAUUUAAAUCAGCACCGAUGUGUUUAGUAAAACUCUAUACAAAACAAGAUAAAAGUCCCUUUUCUAAUUUCCAAAUGAAAAGCGAAAUUAAUAUCACAUGAUCAACUUUUUAUAAACUUUUUUGUAAAAAAGUGAAAUGUUUCGUGUAACGCUUUGGGUGAAUGACAGUAACAUCAUGGAAAAGGGGAAACAUAAGUAGGGUUCACUUUGUGUGACCAUGCCUGCAGAGGGUAAAAGGGAAAAGAUGGAAAGAUUUUUUUUUUUUAUGGAUAGGUGUAUUUCUUUCACUUAAUUAUAGUUUUAUGAGCCUACCAUGACCUCAAAAGGUAUGUCCCAUCAAAUGAAACAAAGGCAGAUCAUAUCAUACAGGCAGACCAUCUAACCCAACGGUUGUGAUGAGUGGGGGAAUAGGUUUGAUAUUUACAAUUGUGAACUUGGGAUUUGGUACUGAGGAUUAUUAGGAUUUAUAAAGUUGCUGAUCAUGAUUAGGUGGGCAAAAAGGGAUCCCAAAUGUAUCUCGCUUUCACUAUGUAUCUUCUCGUUUGUGUCUUGUAUAUAUCUCUUGACCCCUUCAAAGCCUACAAUCAUCACUUCACAAGUCCUGUGCGCCACAAAGGUCAGUCCUCUGUAGUAUGUGGAUGUGGAUGAUAAGGAGAAGAGUAGAGGUCACCUGCAACUAGGAAUUAUGAAGCUCAGGUAAGGCUGUGAAAAGUUGUUUCUUGUUCCAAUUUCGAUCCUCUUUGUGGGUUUUCUUUUCCCCUUUUGCCUUCUUGUUGUUGGGUUUUGGUUCCAAGGAGAAACCAAGCUGGCUAGAGAGGACCAUCUCUGAUUGAGAAGCUGGAAUCGUGCAGCAAACGGUCCCUUAUUCGGAUAGCAAAUUACCAUUUCUUUUUCCCUUAUCCUAGAGACAAAGAAGAUGCUCUUUCUGUGUCCCUUUCUAGUUGGAAUCUCGACAACAUUACUGUAAGUCUGUAACUCGAAAGAACAGCCUUCGUCUUUUGCCAUAAUUGAAUCAAUAAGAGCGUAAGAGCAGAAAACAUAGGCCUGCACUUUUCCCUUUUUUUGCUUCUCUGCAGCUACUUCCUCUCUUGGGUAACUCCCUUUAAGUUUUCCAAGCCGUUAGUGGUUAGAUUAACCCUUCUGCUAUAGCCCCCCGAGUAAGCUCAGCUGGGUUUGUGAAGUUGUGGAGUGCGGAACCACUGAACCAAGCUAGAAAAUGGUGAAUCCGAUUCUUCAUCAUCUUCAUCAUCAUCAUCAUCGCCUCCUGCUCGAUACGCCGGAGCCGAGCACCAUGUCAAAUGGGAACAGUACUCAUGAGGCUUAUGUGAACGAGACCAACUUCGACACCAACAUGGUGAUCAUCCUAGCAGCCUUGCUAUGUGCUCUAAUAGGAGCACUUGGGCUCAACUCAAUCGUGCGCUGCGCCAUGCGCUGCAGCAGAAGGCUCUCCCCGGAGUCCCAGGGGCAAGCUGCUACUGGCCUCAAGAAGCGUGCUCUGCGCCAAAUUCCGGUAGCAGUUUAUGGGCCCGGAGUGGAGAUUCCGGCCACUGAAUGCCCAAUUUGCCUGGGCGAGUUUGUGCAGGGGGAGAAGGUUAGGGUGUUGCCCAAAUGCAAUCAUGGGUUCCAUGUGAGGUGCAUAGACACAUGGCUGGUGUCACACUCAUCCUGCCCAAAUUGUCGCCACUCAUUGCUUGAGCGCCCAACAACUUCAGACGCAGCUGGUGAGGUUGCCCCGGAACAGCCACAGCCAAAUGGGUCCACCCACCAAGGUAGCAUUGUCAUUGCUGUCCAUGAGACAAGUUAAUAAUGCUGGCCUUAAAAUUAAGCCUACUAGGCUACAUCUUUUGUUUCACCAGUACUGAACUACCCCAGAUUGCAAAUGCUAAAAGUUGUUUUUCAGAUGAUUCAAAAUCAUAGUAGACAUCAAACCAACAUGCUUCUGUUAUGGGCUUAUCCACAUUUCUCUUCAUUUCUAAACAAAUGGAUCAAUACUAGAGGAGAAGUUUCCGUGAUCUUUGUCCAUGUGCCUUACCAAAAUCCAAAGGUUUUUCAAUUGGGUGGUGCAUUAGACAAGCUUUCUUUUCUCCAUUUAAUAAUCUGUGUAACGGCCAAAACUGAUUUUGGCGAUGUAUUGGUGAGUGAAAGUGCCUGCAUACCACCCACUAAAGUGGGCUGAGAUUUCCAAAUUUCACAUACUCUGUUUGGUUGGGGAGAAAGUGGGUGAGAGAGAGGGAAAUUUUGGACUCUUUUCAACCGUAUGGGUUUGGAAUGGUUGAAAGGUUAUAAAAUCUGUUGCGUCUACGCUUCUUAGCAAUUAAUGGAGCAUUAAGGUCUCAACCUACAAUCGUUGAAAUAAAAAGAAAAAAGAAGAUAACUUCCUUGGGCUGGCUCAUCUUAGCUCUAACAUACUAAAAUCUCAUUUCAGAGCAAUGCCCCCAGUAAAUUUUCCUGCACCUCACACCUUCUGGGUAUGAGGUCCUCCAAUCAAUGACAUUAAUCAGUGGGCCAUCCACUAUCUACCUCAUUGAUUGAAUUGCUUCUAAAUCCUUCCUGUUCCUUCAACUGCAAAGGAAGCUUUGAAUUUUAACCAUCCACGGAACAUCAGAUAAUGACAGAUGGGGGGCUCGAUGAACUCUUUUGUUUCAUCUGCUCCUCCUUAGAUGACCCAUCAUUCCAUGCCAUAUCAUAAACUGUUUUAUUCCCAAAUAAACAACCCUUGUUGAUUAUAUCUUCUGAAAGAGCAAUCAAUCCAAUGGCAGUAGUUAGUACUUAAUCAGAACCAUCAAGUUGGACACCAUUUUUAAAGCUCUUUUUGACAGUUCCAGAAAAAGUAUUACAUAAUAUUUUAUCACCAAUCAGAGCACUUUGGUACGGAUUUUGCGUAUGAUAUUGAAGUUUUUGAACUAAACUUAGGAGUGAUGUAUUUUUUGACAAUACCUUUCAAGGAAAAAGUUCUAAAACUAUGGCCAUGAUUCCUAAAAAGAACUAAGAUUUUUUUCCAUAUUAAUUCCAUCAGUUAGAAACACAGCUUUGUGGGUCUAAGAUUUGUAAGUUGGGCUAAUUUUGAUUCCAUUUCAAGUUAAGGGAUUUUGAAAUGGGGAUCCCCACCAUGGCCAACCUAAUGUUGGAUUUGAAUCCUGAGAAAAGUUGCUUAAUGAGGGAAUUAGGGGUUUGGCCCCAACAAAUUGGCAUCACUUCCCACAAGACCUUGUAUCAAACCAAUAUUUGAGAAGAAUACUAAAUUUUUAAUAUAUGCUAAUAAAAGAAAAUUAAUUAAUCUGUAAAUAGCAAAUACAAAAAAAUGGAAAAUUAAAAUUUGGCAAAAAUGAUAAAUUAGUCUCCUAAAACCGCUGUACCUUUUCACUAAAAACCCUACUCACCAAUCAUCAUUUGGGCCUUGACCUCCAAAAGCCCACUUUCCAAGUCCAUGGUUUUCAUGGUCCAGCACGAACCCCAAACCCAAAUGGUGGUGAGUACUGAGGAGUGAGGAUGAGAGCAAUCAAAAUUUAAAAUCAAGGAAAAUUCAGGGGUUCAACGGCUAGUAAACAGUACACCAUUGAAUUCUCGUCUGAGAGCACCAAAUGCAGGCAAAUCAAGAGCAGCAGAAGCAGCCAUGGAGUCUCCAAGUUCAUGCCAAGGCCAAGAACUUCAAUUUCAAACUCAAGGCCACCCAAAUCAUACCCUCUCACAAGUUCUUUCGCCUCUCAGUCUUCCUCAAGGUCUGCUCUUUUUCCCUUAAAGCUAGAUCUGAACGCGGACCUCCAGCGUCUAGGCAACACCGGACGCCACUCAGAUCCAAAUUCGCCAGGAUUCUCGAGAAAAUUCGGUCCCGAGGCACCAAGAAACCAGCCAUUUCUGCUGUGAAAACCUCGAGUCGUCGACGCCCAGAAGCUAAACUUCCCCAAAAUCAGCGACCGAAACGAUUCGCUUACGAGGUAAUGCGAAAUUACACAUGUUUGUUUUGAUGUUGAUCCAAAUUCUAAUCAAAAUUUUGAUGGGUUUUAUGUGUUCACAGGAACCUAUCUACGUGGGUUCGAUAAUGAUGAGAGGCCUGGCUUUUCUUUCUCGCUCGGUCUCGGUGAAGGACCACAGUGGAAUCAUCAUCCACACCUCAAUAAUCUUGCUGUACCUUGCUUUAUUGUUUAAGAAAUACACGACAAGAGAAACUAGUAAUCUAUUGGCAACUUUGAUUGCUGCAAUAGUGGGUUGUUCGCUUGUGUUUGAUAUGAGCAGUGGCCUGAAUUAUAAUGGCGGCCUUGUUUCAGAAUGUGUUUGGACGAUCUGCAACUUGGCAGCCUCUUCUGGGUGUUUGUAUGUAUUUUCCCAGGUAAAUUUUGCUCCGUUCUAGCUCUUUAUUUUGCUCUCUCACACUUGAAGUUAAGAUUGAAAGCUUCAUCAGUAAUCAGAGGCCACUUGCUCUUAAAUUUCAGGUAAUUUUCUCAAGGUUUUUUCAAUAUAUGAAAGCACUCAGAUGAUUGGGGUCUUCUGGCGAUGAUACUGGUAAGGCUUCUUGUUUGUUCCAUUGGUGUUUUCUGCAAUGGUUCAAGCCAGAUACUUGAGGAGUAAAUAUUUUACAAAGUUUGAAUAAAUUUCUUUAUUGUCCAUUUUUAAGACACUUAAAAGUUUGUGAAGCCAGAAAUCAAAUGUAAAGCUAAAGGUCACAGGCCAGUAGACAAAGUGUAAUAAGAAUUGGUGUCACAAAAAUUUGAAAAUUUUAAUUUUAUAUACUGCCUUCAUGCUUUAAUUUAUUGUUUGUAAAGUAUCUUUCUCAACUUCACCUUACAGUGAGUGAAGUCCCAACCCUUUGAAGAAGGUGGGGGGGAUGGGAGGGUGAAGGGGGAGUGGGGAUCAUCACGGUAGGCAGGGGCAAAGCUAGGAAUAGGAUACGGGAGCAAUAGAAUAGAGGCUAAUUUCAAGAGGGGCAAAUAUAAGCCAAGAAGCAAUGUUUGGCUCAUCUCUCUUAAAACUGAGGUAUUUUUAUUUUCCCCCUUUUGGGCCUUAGGUGGGAAAAAAAGAUUGUGGAAUUCUAAAUUUUAGAUAUAAAUUGUUGAAAAUGAGUUUGGAAUUGGAAUGUGUUUUUCUUUUUUCUUUUUUAACUUCUUUUUGUUUAAUUAAUCAUCCCAUGAUUUUUAUUUUUUUUUAAAUCAAUGUUUCCCUUGAGAUUUAAAAAAAAACAAAUUAGGUUAGCUAUAUAUUUCAUCUUUUUUUAAAAAAAAUUAGUUGUUAAAAAAUAUCAAACUUUUAAGACUCGAGGAAAAUUAAAAAUCAGGAAAAAUUGACAUUUACCAUUGAGCGAUUUUAUAAAAUUGAUAGAAUUUUAGCUAAAAUUCCAUUAUUUUCAUAAAAACAAAAAUAUAAUGUGGUUCAUCAAUUGAAGAGGCUUUUGCAUUUAAGGUAGGCUAUAACUAUUGAUCGAGGAAAAAACCUUAAUCGAUCGAGCAUUGGUCGACAAGUCACUUAACCAAUCAAGAUUUUUGUCUUACAAUGAUUGUUUGUUAUACUUUUGUUCUUCUAACAAUUAAUAACUUAAUUAACCAUCAAUUGAUUGGUUUAGUUUAAAUUGUUCCUAAAUGUCAAAUAAUUCACAUUUUUAACAUAAUUUUUCCAAAAUAAAAAAAUAAAAAAUUGUUGCAUGACACCAUAUGGAAAUCUCAACCCACCAAAUGUUUGACAAAUAAACAAGAAGACCAUUCCUUCAAACAAAGAAAACGAACAAAUAAAGAAGCUUCCACCCACUACAUGUCAAAAUACUAAUAUUAUAAACAAGCAUGAUGACUAUUAGUCUAUUAGAAUAAUGAUUAUUGGUCCAACUCAAUUGAAAAAAUAUAUCUCAGGCAAUAAUAAAGAAUAUAACAACAAAUAAUAAUAUAUUAAUCUUGUCACCCUCAACCAUCCUCCCUUCAUUCUAUCUAAUUUAUUUAACCAAGAUUGAGAGAAUAUUUUUUUAGAUGCCUUAAAAAAACCAUUAAUUAAAGGUUAUAAAAACUAGGGGUGACAAAAUUUAACAUGAUUGGUUAAUAUGACACAACCCUAACACGUUUUUUGCGGGUUUGAGUUAAGUAUAAAUAGUUUAGAUCAAAUACGCAUUAAUUUAGAUCAUUAACCCACAUAACAUGAAUUUGACCCCAUAUUGAACCAUUUAAUAAUCUCGUUAUUAAUCUAAUUAUAUUUUCAAACUACUUAGUUAAUAUUUGACUUAUUUUAAAAUUUUCUUUUAAAUAAAUAGGUCAAUUGAUUCAUAAACAUUAAUCAUAUAAAUAUAUACAAUUCUUUAACUCAAUUCGAUUAUUAAAUAAGAGGACUUGAUUAUUAAAUGUAUUAAAUGGAUUACACAACGUGUUACCUAUUUAAUAAUGAGGUAGUAUUGGGGUUUAUGUUUUCUAUACGAUUAUUAUUCAUGUCGAGUUUAGGUUUAUGUAGUAAAAUACCUAAAAUUUGACAUGACACAAACAUGAUUCACUACUGUGAAUUGCCAUCCCUUUACCAAUAGAAGAUUAAGAAUAAAAUAAUAUAUAAAUUUCAAAUAUCGUUCGGUCAUGGGUUGUCUAUGGCUCCUUAAGAAAAGUAGUGGUUGCAUCAUCAUUAGAAGUAAUUGCAUCCUUAUUUGAAGUGUGACUCCAUUGUAGUUAUUUUGAAUUCUUCGAUAAGAGUAUGGUAAGAAAACUUUUGAAUGAAUGGAAUAGUCAAUCUUGAUCGAAAAAAGACUUACUUUUGAAGUCAUUGUUUAUAUAAAUUAAAAGUCGUUGAAAGUUGCAUACCUCAAUAUUUUUAAAUCCAUAAAUUAUGACAACUAAGGUAGUUAAAUGUGUUUAAUGUACGUUUAGUCAUAUUUUUAUUUUGUUUUUUAUUUAUAUUUUAUAUUUUGUUUUUAAAAUAAAAAAUUUUACAUAUAAAAAUGAAAAUUCUUUUAUAAAAAGUAUAGAUUCGUCUUAUAUCUUUAAAAGUAAUUUUAAAACCUUCUAAAAUUUAAGGUAAUAUUUUUUUUUACAUCAAUUAUUUUGAAAUAAUUUUUAAAAGUAUUAUUUUUUAACAUAAAUCUCUAAGAAUUCUUGUACUUUAUAUAAAAUGUAAUAUCAUUUUAUAAUUUUAAAAAUAAAAAAGAGAAAGUAAAGGUAAUUGUUUUUCAAAAUAAUUUUAUAUUAUCUAAAUAAAGAAAAAAAAAACAUGUUUGGUAAAUAGAAAAGAGAUUUCUGAUAUUAAAAACAAAAAACAUGAUAGGGUUUAUUUGGUAACUAUUUUAAAAAAUAAUUAUAAAAAAUAGUUUUUUAAAGCUAUUUUUAAUUUUUGUAAACAGAAAUAUAUUUGAAAACUUAAAAUGUUUUUAAUAUGUUUUAAAAAUAUUCUUUUAUAUAUAAUAUUUUAUUUUUAAUAAUCUUACAUUUUGUAUAAUUAUUUUUUAAAACAACCUUACAACAAGAAGUGAAAAUCAUAAUUGUUUUUUAAAAUAGCCUUUAAAAAACAAGUGAAAAUAACAUAAAAUAACCAAAAGAUGUUUUCUAAAAAAUACACCAUAUUAAAUAGAAUACAAUUUUUGAUGGUCAAAUGUGUUUUUUUAUUAUAGAGAACAUAAAAUUGUUUUAAAAAAUAGUUCACAAUGCUCGUGAUUUUAGAUAAUAUUUUUUAAUUAUAUUUAGUUAUUUUCUAAAGAGUUAUUUUUAAAAAUAAUUAGAAAAAUAUAAAUAAGGAUUAAAAACUUAUAUAUAAAAAUAUAAAAAACAUGUUAAGAAUAUUUUAGUUUUCAAAUAGAAUUUUAUUUUAUAAAAUAUUAGAAAAUGGUUUAAAAAAAUUGUUCUAAAAAUGGUUUUAAAAAAUUCUUAUGAAAUAUUGUUUUAAAACAUAUUAAAAACAUAAAAAUCAUGUGAAGAACAUUUUAGUUUUUUUUUUUUUAAAGCACUAAGUAUAAAAUUUAUUUUCAAAACAUAAAAAAUAUGUUAAGAUUAUUUUAAUUUUUUAAAUAAAUUUUAUUUUAUAAAACAUUAAAAAAUAAUAUUUAAAAAUUGUUAUUGAAAACGGUUUUAAUAAUUCCAAAAUUUUCAUUUCAACAUGCAAAAUUGUCAACAUUUUAUCGAGCGGCAAAGCAGGCCCUUCACCAAUGCUUCAUCCUGAAAACCGAAAGUAGGCCCGUGAACCAGGCCCAGGCCCAGGAGACAGCGGUGGGCCCGAAUUCAGCCACGGGAGCAGGGCGCGUGGGAAAAGGCACCAAAGAGGAAGAGAAACAAAUAAAAAAAUGAAAAAGACAAAAAGGGGGGGGGAGGGGGUGAUGUUGAGUAGUGGGUUUGAAUGGGAAAACGGGGACCGUAGAUCUACGGGAGGCAAGAGCAGAUCUGACGGGACAGGUUGAGAGUCAAAGAGCUAUCUUGAUGGGUCUCUUUGACCACACCCUCCCUCUUUCUAUUUUAAUAUUUAUUUUAUUAAUUAAUAAAUGACUCAAGUUUUCCAACUUUGACUGCCUUGUCACUUCAUUCCAGGCCCCUCUUCCUUGAAUCUCCAGCCACUCUGCUCCUUCACCCCCAUUUUUAUCAUCUUGCCCCUCCCCCUCCCCGGCCAUCCCCCUAGGAAACCAAACUCAAGGGGGCAUUCAGGUAAACUCACAGUGAGAAAGCCACUUCUGUUGUUUUACUGUAACAAUAAUAAUAAUGAGACUUAAUAAUUAAAAAUAAAAAUAUUUGAAUUUUUAUUAAUUAAGUAUAAAAAAGGAAGGGGGGUUUUGGGUAGGUUUGACUAGUGCUUCAUUGGGGGCUCCAUUCCAAUAUUCUUAUCAUUUUUUUAUUUUUAUUUUUAUUUUUUUUUCUGUCAUACUUUUUCUCUCUCACAAGUCACAAGAAAAAUCUUUCUCUUCCUUUUCCUCAUUUUCCUUUCUUUGACUUGCUCAGGGUUUCGUUUUUAUAGUAUCAAAUCUCCCUCUCUUCUCUGUUUAUCUCUUCCAAGAUCGAAACUUUACUGCACCCAGGGCGCAAUCGAGAUCAGUGGCUGUUGCAGAGACGACUUGUUUUGGGUUCGGUUCGUGUUUUUUUUUUUCUUUUUUUCUUUUAUAUUUUGGGGCCUUGUGUGUUCUUGUUUAUGUUCUGUCUGGUUGCUGGGAAAUCCUAGGAGAAGAAAUGAAUUCUUUAUGGAGGUUUUGUGGUUGAAUUGGCUGUUGUAGGAUUGUAAGGAUUAUUAUUAUUUUUUUUUAAUUUUCUUUUUUUUCUUUGGACAAUUUCUCGGCAUCUAAACGAAGAAUUUCAUUGUAGAGAAUUUUGGAAUUGUAUUAUUGGGAAAAUUUGGAGUGUUUUUUUAGCUUGAUUUUUUUUUUGGAGCUAUGAUGUUCUUGUUUUGAUGCUUGACUUGGUUUCAUCAUGCUAAUGGGGAUGUUCAGUUGAGGUAUUCCGACUGCUUUGAUGGCCUUAACGUCCAUCUUAGGAAAAUUCAACCAGCUAAUUAGUUUUUUUCCCCUCUCUAAUCGCGUGAACCUUGGUAUCUUUUGGUGUUUUUUUUGGGGGGGUUGAGAUUUGGAGUAGUUUUGGAUCUGAGUUGAUUUUGAUGCAGAUGAUUGGGUGCUGAGUUUAUGGGCUUCUUCUCAUCUCUUUUUCUUUCAUGAAGUAUUAAUGGAUUUGCCGUGGGCAGGGGUUUUUAGGUGCUAUUUACUUUUGAUGUUGGCUUACUGUUUGUUUUUAUUUCAUAUUUCUGUAUCGUCUAAAGGUGAAUUAAGAUUGGCCCUGGAGAUUGCAAUAGUAUAUUGCCUUAUCCACAUGCCAUGUUGCCACUCUGUAUGUCUUUAGGGUUUUUGCUGAAAAAUCAUUGGAGGUUUGUAACUUUGUAGGUAAACAUGAUUUGAAAGAUUGUAUCAAUGUGGAGGACAUACAUUGGACCGUCUCUCAUCGCUGGCCUAGCAGAGUUGAGAAAUUCUUUUAAGGUUUGGGGUCAGGCCAUGUAUGGAUCAAUUAGAAAGACAGAAAUCAAAACAUUCUGGACCUUUUUUUUUUCUAGGUUAAUUGAUAAAACCUUAUUCUAAUAAAAUUUCUUGGUGAAUCUUAUUGUAUUAAAUGCUUCUAGUUUAGUCUUUGUUUCUUCAUAGUAAGAAUUGCUAACUUAAUUAAAUAACAAACAAAAAUUUUCUUGCUGGGUGUCAUAGGAAAAGAUUUUGAGGCUCCUAUUUUGUUUUUCAUGAUUUUGGUAUUGUUGAAAUUCUCAAGUUUGAAGCUUGCAAUGACAUGUCAUUUCCUCAUUUCAUCUGGCAGGAGCAUACAAAACCUUGUCACUGGUGAAGACAUUGAAGAUAAAAUGGGCUGUUUCAAGGUUUUGAAGAGUAAGAAGAAAAAGGCUGAGCGCACUGCUUACAUUAAAAGGAUCAAUCCUCAGGAGCUAACACCCACUACACUGCCUGAACCUAAACUUCAGAGCCGCACACUUCAAUCUGCACCCCCAAGUUUUAGAACCCUAGUUAAACCUGUUCAACCAGUUAAAAGAAUCAUUAACAGUAGAACACGAGCAUUGUCCGCCCCAUCAAGCCUCAAUACAACUGAACAAGAUGCGCUUGCAUCAAAUGAAUGUGAAGAACAAGAAGAGUUGAAGAGUCGUGUUGGAUUAACAAAGGAACAGCGAUCGCCAAACCCUCAGCCUCUUCCUCUCCCAUCACCUCAAGGCACUGUUGUACUGAAAGCUACAGGAAGUUUUAAAGCAGGGAAUGCGAGUGGCCCUCUCUAUGCUUCUGGCCCACUGCCAUUGCCUCCUUUAGGAGCACUCCGGAACUUUGGCUAUGAAGAAUUAUCAAACGCCUGCCUCAAUUUCUCUUCAGAUCGAUGUGUGUCGGAAGGACUUUCAUCCAUAAUUUACAAGGCUUCCUUUGGGGAUGAUGCUUCAGGUUCAAAAAAGCUGGAAGCCACUGUUACCCGGCUUCACCCAUCCACCCAGGUAUCACGACUUUCUGGUUUUUUAUUUGAAUGCAGGCCCUGGAUUGAUUAUUAUGUCAUGUCUUUAUUCCUAAACUUCCUGCAGUUCUCAAACUGUUGCAAAUUAUAUAUGAGCAUGCUAACAUGACUAAUGUAAUUGAACUUUGGUGCACCCCCUUUUAGGCAUCUCUUAGUAUACACUCUUAUUUGCUUAUCAAUAAAAAAGCAUGACUAAUGUAAUCGAGUAUAUGAGCUAUAUCUCAUUGAUGAAGCAACUUUUAUGUUUCAACAUUCUAAUGAUUUAGUUUUAGGGCAAAUGUUUAUAGAAGUUUGAAACCGAGAUAAAUUUUCACCUGCCUGUUUGUAUUUUUCAUUUUUAUCUCACUUUUCUUUCUUUAUUCCCCUCUAUAAUACAAAAUAUCGCUAACGCAAAUAGAUUGAUUUGAAGCAUAAGUCUUUUACAAUGUAUAAUAAAUUCUGCCAAUUUUGUAAUAUUUAACCAUGGCUUUAGAUUUGCUAGGAAUUUCUAUGAUUCUACUUUUUUAUUCUUUUUGAUUUUUUUUUUUCUUUUGAAAUGUUUUACAACCCUCAGUACACUGAGAUAUAACCCAUCCUGUUUGUGCUCAUCUAGGGUUUAAAGGAAUUCAUAAACGAGGUAAACACGCUUGCAUCAUUGCAACAUCCCCACCUCUGUAAGUUGCUUGGUUUCCAUGCGCGUGAGGGAUCUGACCAGAGGAUGUUGGUUUAUGAGAGGCUCUACCAUGGAAGCUUAGACCGUCUUCUAUAUGGGAGAUCGGAUGGGCCAUCCAUUGAUUGGAACACAAGAAUGAAAGUUGCUUUAUGUGCUGCACAGGGUCUCACUUUCUUGCAUGAAGAAGGGCCUUUCCAGGUAAGCUGAAAUCCUGUCUCUGUUCUUUUGAAGGAUUAAAAUUGAAAUAGAUGGUACAUGAUCCCCCACAUGGUCAACUAGUAACACUUCUCAGUUUAUGUUGCAUUUUUCUUUUUCUCUUUUUGGUAUAUUGCCCUUUCUUCGUUUGAUGGAAAUGCACAUGGGAGAUGAUAAAUUUCAAUAUGCCUUAUCAUGUUCUAUCAUUAUUUUGGCUUGAGCUUCUAUCCUUUUAGCUUGCUUGCCCAGAGUUGCAUUUUUUUUGGUAGUCAUAAUAAAAACUUUAAUUCUGUAUUUCAUGCUUGUCCAAUCCAUCAGUUCUGUAGAUUUGGUUGAAAUCCCAUCCAGUAGGUCCUACGUUGUGAAUGUUCCAGGACAGUAUGGCAAUUUUCAUGAUUGGUGUAAUAUUUAUUGAAUGUGACCUUUUGGUGGGAGAUUGCUUGAAAUGCAAAUAUUUCAAUUCCUGUUUUUCUGUUUCCCUCAGAUCACUGUCCCAAUUCUGUAUAUUAGGAUUUUUUUUUUCCAGUGGUUGUUGUUCUUGUUGUGUACUGAGAACUUCCCUGUGUGUUUACAGGCUAUGUACAAUGAAUUUUCAACUGCCAAUAUACAGAUUGACAAGGAUUUUAGUGCAAAGCUUUCGGGAUAUGGUUGCGUUGGCCACAUUCCAGAAGCAGAUGUUUGCAGUAGUUCAGUUGUAAGUGCUUUAACUCAUAUGAGGAUAAUUCUAUCAUUGUUUUGGUUUCCGACUGCGAGAUACUACUUUUCCCAUGCAUAGAGAUGGAAUAGUACAAUCAUGACAAAUAAGACACUUAUUAUUUCUGCAACUACUUCCAUCAAGUAAGACUAAAUCCUAAUACAACAAUGAAGUAUUUACUUCUCUGAAACUGUCAUAACAUGACAGCAUGGUGAUUUCUGGUCUUUUUUACACGAGUUCCUUUUGUUCUGGGUGCUUUUCUUUUCUCUGAUUUGUUUUUGAUCCUGGGGAAUUAAUUAUCUUUUGUGCCAUGUCCAUUUAUUCAGGCAGUAGCAAAUCUAUCAGUGGAGACAUUAGAGAGAGGAUUACUAACUCCCAAAAGCAAUGUUUGGAGUUUUGGAAUAGUUCUUCUUGAGCUACUCACUGGGCACAAGAACCUUGACAGCCGCCAUCCGAAGGAAGAGAGGAACUUAGUUAAGUGGAGCCGACCUUAUCUGGCCGAUGAUUGUCGACUCUCAUUGAUAAUGGAUCCUCACCUAAAAGGCCGCUUCCCUGCCAAAGCAGCCCGAACAGUGGCAGAUAUUGCCCAAAGAUGUCUUCAGAUGGACCCCUUAGAAAGACCCACCAUGAGAACCAUUGUGGAGCAUCUCAAAAUCAUUCAAGACAUGAAGUAUUCCUGCCGGUUUCCUCUGCAAGAGCCGGCAGCAGUUGCUGGAAAACAGAUGUCAAGAUCGCCUAGUCUCAAUGGGAUCAUUACCCCAGCGCCCAGGCUAAGUUUCUCCCCUUCUCCGCCAUCAAGAACCCACCUCUCCGUUUCUCCAACAAGACCGCCUGUAGUACCCGUGUCUCUUCCUCCCCGAGCCUGUUCCUCCACUCUCUCUUUGGAGGACCUUGAACGGCAGGAAAGCAGGAAAUCUUCAUCAUCAACAUCCACCUUUCGGAGGCCCAGUGUUGAAGGUUUUUGAUUGUCAAUAGUAUGCAAUUUUUUCAUUUUCAUUUUUUUUUUUGUUUUUUUCUUUCCCCUUUUGUGAUUCAACACAAUAUAUAGAAGAUAAAAAAAAUGUGGUUCUUCCACCUUUCCAUCCCUCAAGAAGAUGCAACAGAGGAGGAUGCUAUUUUGUAGAUAAAAAAGAAAAAAAAAGAAAAAAAAAGAAAAAAAAAAGUGUGAGCCUCUCUUCUUAUUGGGUUCAGUUAGUUUCCUCCUCUCCACAAUUUGAUUUUGCUUUUUCUCCUUCCCUCUGGCAAAUGUUGUUGUGAUGUCUUCAUUGAAAUGAAAAACUGAUUUGUUUGCAAUUUGGGUAGAAAAUAUUGGAAAGGUUCAGAGAAUCUGAAAUUGGUCAAAAUUUGGCUACUUGAACAAAUCAAAUUUCGGCUUGACAAUGACACCUCAUUAAUAAUAUACCAAUCCAAACUCUCUUCAUUUCUUCCAGAAAGGAAAGCUGGAGUUGCCUUUCCCAUCUAUUUUCCUCUAAAUUGAAAAGUCUUUAGAGAUAAUGUAUUGAAUGGCUCUUGAAAAAUAAUUACUAGUUGAUAUUUUCAACCAUUCUUCAAAAUUUGUCAGCAUUUAGAAAAGAUUGCACAUUAAUUUAGUUUGAAUUCAACAAAAUUUUCCUCCUUCCGCUUUCUUGGAUAUCUGGGUUUAUUCUUUAGAAUCUUUGCCAUCUUUUUCCACAAGAAAUCUUUUAAUUAAUUAAUUAAAAUCAGUCUUCCUCUGUAUUUCCGGGUCUUGAAACUAAGACCAGAUCAAGGGCAUUUCUUUUUCCUCCCCUUGACAUUAAUGUAAUUAAUUUAAAAUAUAGUGAUGCAUGUGAUAGCAUGUUAAAAAGGAUAAAAUAUUUUUUUUUCUAAAAUUAAAAAUAAUAUAAUGAAUUAAUUUACUUAUUUUUUUAGUUAAAAUGAUAUUAAAUCAGUGAGAGGUAAAUUAAUAAAUAAUAUUUUGUAUUUUUUUAUUUUUUUAUGUAAAUAUUAACAAACAUUUAUAAAAUUAUUGUAAAAAAGAUGUCUGAUUAAGUUUAAAUCUCAUAAUAUUGAAAUAAAAAUAUUUAAAAGAAUAAUAUUAAUAUUUUUUAAAGUUUUAAUUAAAUACAUCUUAUCACCAAUCUUUAAUUUGGAGUGUCCCAACUCCCAAGUGGUGAAAUCGAGAGAGAGAGAGUAUUUUUUAAGGUUUUAAUUAAAUACACCUGAUAAAUCCUUAACUUGGAGUGUCCCAACUCACAAGUGGUGAAAGUUGAUAGUCUGACAGUCCCAAGUGGUGAAAGUCGAUUACCCCAAAACAUGAUUGGCGUGCGUAGACGGUAGACGCUACACGUUACAGUCUGAGGGGAGUAGAAUCCAAUGUGGAUCCACAAGAAUGACUUUGUAGGGUUCAGUACUUGUGGGUGGCUGACAUCAAAGCAGUACUGUAGGUUUUGAACAUUGAGCCAAUUACCCAGGUAAAUAGUAAAUUAAAAACACCUUGUCAGAGUUGUAGUUGAAAAUGGAUGACUCGAAGGUUCAAUUAUGAUAUUUUCCAUUUUUAAAAUUAUUAACUCAAAUAAUCAAAUUCUAUCACAUCAUAAAGCAUUCAAAUUCAAAUUUUAUAGAUGGUCGAUCACAAAAGUCAAUGUAGUUUGAAAUUUUGUGUAUAAUUGAUGAUUAUUUAGUUACAAUACAUUUUUUUAGUUCAUAUUUAUUUUAAGACAAUUUUGAUGUAAGUAAGCAUAUUUGUUACGAUAAAACCCUUAAGGAUGUUGUCUUAGGGAUGUAAAAAAGGUGUAUCAUUUUCUUAUGGUUAGUAGAUUAUUUGAUGAUCAAGAGAUCAAGUAAUUUUUCCAUGUUGUUUAAUAUAAUUGGAUCAUUUACUUUUGCAUAGGUUCUUUUGUGCAAUUGGAAUAUUUAAUUUUACACAAGAUUAUAAUGCUCUCGCUAUAAAAUUAAUCCAAAGGGAUAAAACCAGAAAUUAGAAAUGAAGUAUUAGUUUAAAUCACCCCUCCCUUUAGGUAGUUUUAUCCUAUUAAUUCUUUCAAUCUCAAAGUAGCUUCAAAUUCACCAUAAAAUCAUAUCACAUAGCAACAGAAGACCUUUUUUGAGCAUAUGACCCCAUCACUUCUGUCGAAAAGGAUCCUGUAAGGGACCUUUGAACUAAACCAAGGCAGGGUGCUAUUUUCUAGGAUAAGUCAAGCUGAUAGGGGAAAUGGAUACUUCAAAUGGAGCAUAGAAAGAAAGAGGCAAUAAACGGAUACUGAAUUAGAAAAGAGAAUAAACUGUUGACCUAAACAUUAUGAAAAGCAAAUCCAAUUUCUUUGUUACAAAUGAUGAUUUCUGGCAUGUUAAGAGUCUAAAAUCCAUGCAUACAUCCUCUUUUAAGAAGAAAUAAUUUUCUAUGACGCAUAUUAUAUGACAAAUAAAAACCUCAAGCACCCUCUCCAACCAUUGGUACAAGCAAUACCAGGCCACAAGAGAAAAACGGAGAGAUAAGUAUGUAAUUUAUAGAGAAAGGAGUUGUUCUUACCAGGAGAGUGAAAAAGGUGGAAAGGGAAGAGGAGCUCACGAAUUAAGCAUCAUUUUUGCUUUGAUCUUGUCCAGAGUGCUCCUCAUCUCCCCCAUUCUCUCGCUCUGAAACUGCAGGAGCAGUAAUACAAUGAUCCUCAUUUAGUGGUCCUUCACUCUCUCCAGUAGCUUGUGGUGGUGGCACAUGUGAUCCUGAGCUGCCUUGUUGCUCGGCCAAGCUUUUGAGACCAUUCUGCUUCAGAUAUGUUUCCAAAGGAAGACUUGCCACUUGUAGAAGACUCAUCAUGCUCACUCGGUUUGAUCCCACUUGCAAGUCCUCCUCACGGUCAGGAUGGCAAUUCAAGUCUAUUUUUCCCUUGCCAGUUUCACUCAACUUGGUGGACAGAUUGUUGCUUUGGCUCCUAGAUUCUGACUCGUUUGCCAACCCAGCUUCACUCUCCGAAGGGUCAGGAUUUGGAGUGGCAAGUCUUGAGGUGCUGUCCACUUCUGCUUCAUCCUUAGCGCCCCAGAUAUUGUGAUUUAUCUGGGCAAUCUCUGCUUCACGCUCUGAUUGGCGCUUUUUUUUCCGCAUCAUUAGUGUUUUAAAACGACGUUUAACUGUCAUACAUACAUUGCAUGUGCAGGUGGGCUUGUGCUUGCCCUUCCCACUGGGGGGCUGGAUACACACAAUGCAUGAGCAGCCUGGGCGAUGCCUCGGGUGUUUGGUUGUGGUUGCAACUGAUGUAGCGGCUGGGUCGCUCAUGUCAUCUCCAAGGGCUGCAGCAUUGGCCAGAGCAUCUAGGCCGGAAGGUUCAUGCUCCUGUGCAGGCCUAUGAACUGCUGCAAUUCGACGUUUUCUGAAAUCUAUUAACCAGGAACAGAAGAAGUGUCACAAAUAUUUUUGGAUUCAAAGUAGACAAUACUCCACAGAGAGAGAAACGGACAUCAUUUCAUAAUAUGAAACACGUGUACACAUGCAUACACAAUGACUUCCCUAUUCCAACCCUGACACUAGUUGCCCAGACGUGUGCUUUCAUUCCAAAAUCAUGGUUUUAAAUUUUCAAAGAUUGAAAUUUAUUCAGUAAGUCCAAGUUUAAAACUCCAACCCCAAUGGGGAAAUACAUUAAUAAAAGAACAGUAGUGUGCAAACGUGACCCUUGGAAGGGUGUAUGUAUUAGUAGGCUUUUCAAGGAGACUACAAACCCCACUGUAUGGCAGCUUCAAGACAAAACCUGAUUGGGACAAACAUCUCCCCCGUUGGGUGUUCAAUGUAUCUGAUGUAAUGUCAUGCACCCAUUAAUAAAGGUGCUAUUAUUCAUUAAAAUUUUAACUACCAGUUGCAACUCUUCAAGACCAUACUGGGUUCUGUGGCCAAUAGCAUUAUAUCAGUAAUGUCUCCACAAUCCUCCCUGGCCACCCCCACCGACAAAUUUAUGAAAUACCCUCAUGCAAAAUACAAAUAUUAUAUAUAAAAGGAAACCAUUUCUCAAAGAAUGUUUCAGGCUGCAGCAAUUAUUUAUUUAGAUAAAAUACAAGUACAGAUGCUGGCAUCAUACCCUUAUAUUGUCUGAGAAUAUGUUCGAGUUCCCUAGGGCUCAACUCAUCUGGGGCAGAACAUGAACACCUGGAUUACAAUAACAGAAGGUCAAGGAUUUAAAGUUUCUCUAGUGGAAAAACACUUGCAUGGAAACACUUAUAACUGACCUGCUUUGAUCCCACAAAUUUUCAGCACACGUCCACUGACAUGGAACAAGAUAAUCAUGGGGCACCUUUCGCCAUUUAGAGCAACUAUCACACUGAACCCAUUGCUCCUCUCCCCUGGAUGAUCAAGCUUAGCAAAUUAGAUGGAUUCACCUAACAGAAGUCUCAAGACAGAAAUCUAGGUAUCAAAAUAGCAGACACAGAAUUUCUCAGGAUAAAAAGUGACUCCUCUUCCAUGUGAGGUACACGUGGCACCAUAAUAAAUGGGCACUAAUUGGUGCCAAAUUGUGUCUUGAUCCAGGGUUCAGACAACUGGAUAAAUUUUUUACUUAAGAACCUGGUAUUAUGUAUCAGUAGAUCCCUAUCACUGGAUGAAUGCUGCAUAAAAACAUAAGAUCAUGACAAGUUUGACACAUUUUACUUAGGAAAACAAAUUUUUGGAACUGCAUCAUUAGAAUUGGAGAUCCUUGGCAUCCAAGGAGGAAGGAGAACUUGGUGGUAGGGAUGGAGGUAGUAUUGCUGAAGGACCUUGGAAGAGUUCAUUUUCGGAGGCAGAAGUAAAACUUGUACAAAUUAAUCAAGACACUCUUUCUCCUAGAUGGGAAGUUAAAUCUAGUGAUCUCACAAGUACUGAUUUCAUAUUUUUUCUUCUUUUGAUUUCUUAGGCUUGGGGCCACCCAGUAAUUGUCACUAGACAAAACAUGGGAAAUGGAAGCAGAAAGGGCAAUUCAAAAAGAAAGAAAACAUGACAUUAGGAAAAUAAAGCAUUAAAGAAGUUUGUAAAUGAAAAAUAAAGGUGCUGAGAGUAGGUAACACUCAUGAAACCUAUUUUCCAGAUGUUUUAGCAACAUUUCCCAUGGGAAACAAAGGUUGAACAUUUUCAAAGAUGGAAAGCACUUAUGAGAAAUAAGUUACCUUAAAAUUUUUUAAACAAGUUUCCCACCAGCUUUAGAAAUGGGUUUCUGGGAAACUGAGUAGAGUUUCCAUCAUGGGGAAAGUAUUUGUAAUUAUGAUCCAGAUAGCUUCACUUUGCAUGUGGGGUUCAGUCAUUGGUGUUCAAAAAUGCUACUUCACAUGCAAAAAUGUAUUAGAAUAAGUUACCAGAAAUCCUUACCCAGAUGGGAGGGUUGUGAAAAUACUCCUCUUUCCAAAAACAGGGGGUUCCUGUAUGACAAAUAAAUAACAUGAUAAGUAAUUAUUAGUAACCUAUAUAUAUAUGUAUGUAUGAAAAAGAAACAGCAAUCACAUAGCUUGUAUGAACAAACAAGGUAGUAUUUAUGUUUAAGACUGAAACAAGGAGCCUCAGCAAAUAAUUUGUACUUUUUUCUUUUUAUUUUUGGCAAACUGCCGUUGUCAAAAUAAAGUCUGUAAGUGGCAUUUGGAUGCUUUACGAGUGUGAGCUAGCAGCAAGACAAUUUAUAAAAGCUAAUUGCAUUACUAUUUUGAGAAUUGUGGAAAGUUUGCUUACAGUGUAUGCCUCAAAUUCGUAGUCCUCAAUCACGUCAAUGACUGGCUUGACACUUGGGGGUGGGCGGAGCAAAGACUGUGCCUCUUCCCAUGUAAGCCUCAGCUCCAGAGCAUCUUGGCCAUCGAUUAGCAAUCUCUUACUUUUAGACCCAAUUGUUCGAGUUCUCUUCUUCUCUGGUACCAGCAUUGAUGGAAGCAGCAAGCCCUCUCUUGUCUUGCCUCCAUGCUUCUCUGUUUUAUGCCAGCCAAUAUCCCCACUAGCUGAAUUCAAAUGUUUUGACAAUGCAUUUAGAUGGGGAUCUGUGCUUCCCUUCAGCGACUGAAGAAUGCCAGAGUAACCACUUAUUAUAGGUUGGUUCUCAAUAACACCCGAAAAGAAAGUUUCACUUGAAUGAGCGCCAUUAGGAAUGGCAGAUAGUUGGGUGUCCUGUUUAGUUAAUAAUUUAUAUAUUAAUAUUAUAUGAUCCAGGUUUGCUAACAUGAAAACUCACUUUGUUUUCCAAGUGUGUGGAUGCAAAUAUAAGAGUUAGUUACAUCAAUGAAGUUGACUACCUGCAUGGAAACGGAGUUAGAUGCUUUCCGGAACCCCAUAACAAGUUUUCCUUCUGGAUCCAUACGGCUGAAUGUUACUGCAGCAAAAAUAUUAAAUGGAUAAAAAUGGAAUACCAAAUGUAUCUUAGCUUCUGGAAAAGAAAAAAGGAAACAGAAAAGGAAGAAAGAAAAACGAAGGGGGAAAAAGGAAAAACCACACCAUAUAUAGGAAGUGACAAAGACAGAAGAUCAUCAGGCAUAAGACAGUCAUUGAUAAUGUUAGAGCAAGUAAUUUGAUAACAUUCUCUAAAAAAUUAUCAAAUAGAAAUUUCUGUCAGAGAAUGGAAUGACAGGAUGUGACAGCAUAAUCAUUAUUGUGAGAAUCCUAAUUAAAGUCUCAUAGUUAGGACCCAAAACACAACAAAACAAAAAAAUUAAUAAGGUCUUGUUUGAAAUGGUUUCUUCAAAGCUAAAAGCUCUUUUUUAAGCUCAAUAGAGCUUCUCUAGAUGUGUUUGGAUAAUUUUAAUAAAACUUCAAAAAGCUAAUUGCCUUAAAAGAAAAAAUGAAAAAAAAAGUUCAACAGGAAAGUUAGGACAAUAUUGUUUACUGUGGAAGCCCUCUUUUUGGCUUAUUGCAGGAAAUUGUUUCAUGUUUAAUGAAACUUUUGUAGUACCAAGAUUGUCCCUCUAAAAUUAUAGACUUAGCUUCAACUUCUACCAAAAGCCAAAACGAUAUCCCAAACAAGGCCUAAGAGAAGAGUAAAGAUUAAUACAAACUAAAAUAUGCUUAGAAAUUUAGUGCCUCUGGCAUUCUUCAAGUAGAGAAAAUAGCUGAGACAUGUUUAUAUCAUGACAGUUGAAAAUUUUUCCUCUUGUAUAGCAAUACAAAUCAAAAGAAUGACGAAUGACUUCACAACCAUUAGUUUUUGUUGAUUAUUAAAUAUGCUAAAAUUGUUGUGGCAUGCCUACAUAAAAUACGAAGCAGGCAAUAGAAGUUACCAGUAUCUCCAGCUUGUAACUGCAUUGACUGUAUGCAUGGGGUCACACCCUCUAAAACAUACAUCCUGCUGUUAUUAUUGGGCCAAAACCUGAAUUGGAACACCCAUUCUUUCCCCUUCACAUCCUGAAUCCUUAAAGGAAGGCCCUCUGGUUGAGAGAUAGGAGGAAAAUAUGCCUGCAAAAUGGUUUAGUUUCAAUUGAUAUACAGAUAAGGUUCAACAAAAAUAAGCUUAACAGUUAAAUUUGGGAAGAACGAAAAAAAAUGAAAAAUGCAAAAGACAACCAAUAAAUAUUAUUUUGUCAAAUGAAAGCCAGACUAAGCACACAAUGGAAAGCUUACUUCAGCACAUGCUUUUGGGAGCACUAAACGACCAAUACGACCAGCAUCACUGGCACUUAGCAUCUUUUCAAAUAAUGGUACGAUGGUGGAAUUUGAGCUUCAAGAAAGCAUGAUUAAAGAAAUCGCUGAUCGAGUUGGUGAAUAAGCAUGAAAAUUAAAAAAAAAUUAACAGCGAAGCAAUCUAUGAACUUCAAAAUAAAAAUGACAUAGUCAAGGAUACUCUCCAGAUAUUUGCUGCAAUUCCUGGUCUGUGAUCCUCGGCCAAUAACGAGGAAGCAACUGAUUCCGACCCCGUCCCUCUGCAGGUGGCCUUGCAACACGUAUUUGUGGAACUAUACCUGUAUUUGUUUCCAAAACAGGAGAAAGUGCUGACCUUGGGGGCUUGGGCAAAAGAUGGCGAGACCUAGGCCCCUGUUGGAUGGGAGUGGAUGUUUUGUGUUGUUCCCUUUCUUCAACGACUGCACUAGGAAACACAUUUGGAUUUCCUGAAGGAGCACCCAAGGUGAUACUCAAAUUUGUCUGAACCAGAGACUCAUGUAUAUCUUUGACCAUCAUGUUUGCUUUACAAAUAUCUAGUUUGGCAUGUAUGGAAGAUCCGAUGGAUGCUUGAUUUAAAUUUGACAAACAUGUACUACCAGUUUCUCCCUGAGGUGGCAAAACUUCCUCCUGUUUCAUUUGGCCAAGAGACCCAUUUAUGUUGUCAUUUCCAGAUUGAAGAAAGUUUUUCAGUCCAUCACCCGAUGUAUCAUUCCCCAACUGUGUAAGCUUCAUCUUCUCAACACUACCACCAUCUAAUUGAUUGUCCACAGAAGUGCAACGAAUUUCACCCACAUUAUCCACUGUCAUUGCACCACUUUCAUUAGCCUUUUCAUCACCUGUCAUCUGUAUGACAAUUUAGAAGUAUCAUAAAUCCCUGAAGGUUGAAAGGAAGUGAUUAAAUUGUAAUAUUCAAUCACUUUCAAGUGAUUAAAAAAAUCUGAUGUAUGCUGCAAAGAACAAACUGAAAUGCACACCUUAUCAAAUACCAUCAUAAACAUCAGAUAAGAAAGUUGUCUGAAAUUAGAGGUAAAUUCUUACUCUUUUCUUACUAAUCCUUUUGUCACCUUCAUUAAUUGAAAGAUACAUAAAUCUACAACACCAGAUCAUCUUAAACCAUAAUUGGAAAUUGGAACUUGUUAAUAAACCAUUUGUUAUUUGUUUCAUUAAUUGGGAAGUGUUUAUAUAGUUGAACGAAACAGAUGAUAAAGAAUCAUACAAACUAAUCAACGAAUUGAUUUUGGCAGUUUGUAACUGAUAUGAUAGUAGGAUGGAACUACAGAAUUAUUAAAUGCAUCCAACCAAAAAUUAUAAAGGAGUAUGUUUGUGUAACUUUUCCAAAAGAAGUCAUAGACAUGUAAAUGAGUUGAUCUUACAGGGUGAGGUCCUGAACUUCUUAUGCAGUUAAUACAAUUUACGCCACCACUAUCAAGUAGCUCAAGCAGAGACCUGGAAGCAAUGCAUCCACAAUGGAGACGCUGGAAACACCAAUUGAAUCAUACUUUUCAACAAUAGCAUGAGUUGAAGAAAAAAAGUGAUGUGAGUUGGGAAGAAGGAACAAGAUACGAGUUACUGGACUACCAACUGACCUUGCCACAUGCAGUACAUUUCCUCCAACCAGAGUCCUUUGAGUGAAACAUGUCACAGAAAACUAGUUGCUCAAAAGCAGACCUGGAGAGAAUUCAGUUGCAAAUAGAAAGUAUCAUCUAAUAAGUCAUAUGGAGAAACCUAAUGUUUUCUUUUCCCAAUAAAUAUAGAUAAAAAAUUGCAGCUCAUCAUGUAAAAUUGUCAUAAAAUGGUGACUAUUAAGUCCCAGCAGUCAGGUUCCAGUCACAUACCUAGUUUCUCAAAAACAAUAAAUGCCAAAUAUUAUUAUUCAUAGGGCAAAAAGAUAAUUGUAAAUAAAAUUGUGUAGUAUUUCUAAAAAACAAGGGAAAGAAAACCAACCAUUAAAGGUCAAGUUCAAGCCAUAAAUUGCUAUGCACUCUAGGCAUCUCCAUGUUUCCACCUUCUAAGGUUCUCAGCAUUUAGAUAGUCGUAUCUAGGCCAAACAAGCUGGUGGAUCAAAAGUUCCUAGUCAUUUAGAAGAAAUUGUUGUCUUCAUGGGUGUCAGCCCAUCAUCAUUAGUGAGGUUUCACCGUUUAACCAGAAAUUGUUAAAUCAUCCAAAUCCAGACAUAAUUAGGAUGAUCCAGUACCAAAAUUUUUUCAGCCUCUUACAAAUCUCAAUGCAUCUUUAAAACAUAUUUAGGAUGUAGGAUGGACCAGAAACAAAUUGCAUGUGGAUACUCAAACCAAAUGAUAAAAUAUCCUUAUUUUUAUUUGCAUGUAAUAUGGAACACAUAAUAUGAUAAAAUUAAAUUUAAAAAUUUUACAUAGGGAGAAAUUAGAUUCAAAAUUUUGCUUCAUCACUGUAUGAGGGUAAAUUGUUCUGUCAUUCACAGAUUGCAAUGACUUGAUUAGUUUACUUACGGACAAGACAAAGAUGAUGAGAUGUGAAAGGCAAUGCAGAUAGCAAGUCAAAUCACAUGCCCUUAAUUUCUUACAAAUAGAAUCCUGCCAAUAGUCAUUUAAAAGCAAACAAUAGGAAGACAAAUAUUUAUUCAACCAAAUAUGGCAUGUAUUUCAAAAAGAAUAAUAAGCUCUUAAAUAAUUUGUAUUUAAUUUUAUCGGGAUAGAUUAAACUAAGGUAACUUAUCAAAUAUAUUUAUCCCCACAAAAGAUACAUCAAGGGAUAAUCAUUAAUGAAGAUGUUUAUCAAGAAACUCUAUUAUCAACCUCUAUUGAUAGCCUAAGCUCAAAAGUGUCAUCAGCACAACUUGGAAGAGAGAUAAUUGAAGCUUCAUCCCUGAAGAACUUUCUUCAAUCCAAUGGACUAACAAUCCCAAAGCUCUACAAGAUUUUGUCACUCAAACCUAUGCUCAUCAUUUACGCCCACAAACUACAAGCCAAUGAGCAUAGUAAAGCUCUUUUAAAUUAUAGAUAUAAAGCUAUACAAACAUCAUUCCUUCAGCAUUUAAGAUCUCAAAGGCUACAUUCAUGGUGAAGCUUUAUUCUUCUCUUAUAUGCUGUAAGCCUCUGCAACUGUGUCAACACAUCCCAACCUUCUGCAGCUGAAUUCACUUUGUCUGGGAACCAGCUCUUCGAGUCUUUGACUGAAGCAACUUUGAGAAAAAGAAUCAGAGGAUAUUUUCUUUAUUGAAGAAUUUUCAGAGUUUGCAUUUCAAUUUUCUUAAACUAAUAAAUCUGAGAUGGUCAACACUUUUCUCAUUUUUUUUUCAGGUUUAAGAUUUGUGUUCACAAAUUUCUAGAAAACCCAGCUAAAUAAUCUCCACCUAAUUCCUAUUUUCAAGUGAAUAAGUUGUGAUCAUGUGACUAGCAACAACAGCAAAUGAAAUAUUAACAUGCACACUUAAUGUGACAUUAGGGUAAAGGACGUGCACCAAUUUUCUUUAAAAAUAGCUACUUUAAAAUUUGUCUUGGGCUUGUGAAUUUAAAAAACACCUGGACAAUUAUCCUUGGUGGAGGUGAAGAAUAGUACCAUUGUUGUGGCAAAGAAGCUAUUGGCUCACUUGCUAAAUCACAAAAUUCAAGUUUGGGUUCUACACUAAGUCAGCAUGGGACAUGGAUUACACCAAUUAUCAAGUCUACAAAUUAUAUUUUUCAUGCCACUCAUGGUGAUUGAAGCAACUUUAAGUGGUUUAAGGCUUUAAGCAAUGAAACAAAUUGGAAGAAUAGUCGAUGCUAUCAAAGAGCAUUCACAACAUAAUCAAGAGCAAGAUGCUCACAGAAAUAAAACUUCAACACAAGCUUGGUUGAUGAUAGCAUGUUGCUAAGAUCCUUCUUGAUUCACACCAUAAGAUACUUCAAAAACCUUCUUUAAAAGAAAAGGUAUUGCUACAAAUCAGCUAAAACAUUUUAUCCUAGAAAAUUUUGUUGCAAAUCAGCUGAAGGAUUUUACCUUGGAGAAAACUCCUAAAACAUGUGACAAUGAAUCUCAAUCCCCUCUCCCACAAACCAAAGUUUUAAAAGAUGCAAGGCACACUUAUGACAUAAAGGCAACCCAACACACAUGUCUAAGUGAAAAUCGGGUGCACUCCAAGUCUAUGUGUAAUUUUAUAUCAUGUAACAAAUAUUAACGCGCAAACAUUUAUAAUAUUUUCAUAUAUCAUUAAAUAGUACUAAAAAUUUCAAUUCAAGCAAUUAAAGACAUCAAAAUUUCACACAUUUUACAUAAAAUCCAACAAAAAUAAUGCUAAAAAAAUCAGUUAUCAUUUAUUUGUGUACUAUACAUAAAAUCACAAAAUAAAUAAAUAAAUAGAUAAAAAUAAUUCAAUUAGUACUAAAAAAAGCAAAUAAAUUUGUGAACUACAUAUAUAUACUGAGCGCCGCAUCAAUGGAUAAUCGUCCUUUAUUAAGAAAUAAUUAUCACUUAUAAGUAGAUAACUGACAAACAAAAACCAUAAAGCUAUUAUAGUUAAUGAUUCGCAAAAUGGCUAAUAAAUCAAAGAAAAUAAAAAUGCCUAAAAUAUUGGGAUCAUAGGAGUUGUGCGUGUUAUGGACAACCUACACAUACAUUUUUCCUUUUCUUCUUCUUCUUCUUCUUCUUCUCCUCUUUUACUCUUCUUCUUUUCAAUCUCUUUCUUGGAAUCAAGCCUUCAAAUCUUCUUUUUUCAAAUGGUAGGGUGAAAAGGUAUUGUUUUGUCUGUUGUUUUAAAAAUACUUAGGCUCAAAAUGACCUUUUUUUUUUCUUUUCUUACUAUGGUAGAAAAAAAAAAUAACUGCAAUUAGGUGCACUUUUUAUUGGCCUUGUGCCUUGCUCUAAGGGUGUGCCUUUUACACCUAAGUUGUGCCUUGUUGAAUGCACCUCUCCUUGUUCUAAACGAGAUGCUAGAGGAGCCAUGUCAUGUCACCUUACCACUGAGAGCAUCUUCGAAAACCAUGCCAUACACACCAAGAAGAGUUGAUAAGGACACCAAUCAGCUACCAAUCAUUAAAAUUUCAACAUUUUGAUAGGACAAGGAAAUCCAAGGCAACACAAGGGUCAAUUUAUGGGGACAUGCAACAAUCUCAAUCUUUUUCCGUUUUUUUUUUUUUUUAAGGCAAAUUUUUGUCCCCAUAAGGGACUUGAACCUGGAACUUGUGUUUAACUCUUCAUUCAUGUACAAGAUCCCUAAUAAUUCAUUGAAACUAGCUUCACUCACAUAACCAUCAUUUUACAUAUGAAGCGGUAAACCCUAUAGCAAAUCCUAAGAGAUCACCCAUUUUAUUUUUUAUUUUUUAUUUAUAAUGAGGAAUGCACCCUGCCAAUAAGGCAUUUAUCCCAACUGUUGAUAAAGCAAACCCUGGAUAACAUAGGUCCACUUCUUUAUCCUACACACUUAAAUUGAAGGAAAGCAUGAAGCAAACCUAGAUGAAAUGGGUCUAACUCCCCUACACCACUUAAAUACAAGGGAGGCUUAAACUAGAUUAAGAAAGAUCAGCCCAUUUUAGAUUUGUUCUCAUAGGUGAUAGAUUAUGAAGUAGUUAUUAAAUUUAAUUUAUUGCUUUUUAAAGUAAUAAUACAUGUAUGGCAUGCCCUAAAAUGAGACUACCUCAAAUAAAUUCCAAAUAAUGUGUGAAUAAAUUAUAAUAAUAUUACACAAAAACUAUCAGCAAAUAUUAAGAAAAAUAUCAUUGUCUUCAAGACCCUAGUUUUUGCGUUUUUCUUUUGUAGGUAAAUUAUAUACAAAUACAAAUAUAGUAGGAAAAUCAUUUAAUAAACAAGGUUGUAAUAGUAUAUAAAAUGUAUGCAAGGCGCACCAAGGCCAAAAGAAAAGAAAAUAUAAAAGGAAAUUGACCCACCUAAGACAACCCCAGAUUACCAAUUAAGUUCAAAAAGGAAAAAUUAGCAUCUUCCACUCAACAUUGGGCUGACUAAAAGAGACACUUAACAAAUCAGUUUAUUGCAACGAAGUCCAGAUGUUCUACUUUUUCAAAUAUUAUAUUUUUACAUAACUCAUAAUUAUUUUUUUUAAAUCUAGGUUUUGCAACCAAGUUCAACACGUUUUCCAACAACAUUAAGUUCCCAGUGAUGUUUCCAUACUAUUUAAGUUUUCAUAGUCCACAAUAAGCAUCUAAAACAUAAUUUAGUUCAAAUGGAAAUUUAACUUUAUUACAAAACAAAAUUCAAUUGAGAACAUUAACGUUUAGGUUUAUUCUAGGUGAAAGGCCUAGCCAUGCCCAUUGACAGCUAGGGUCAGGGGCCGAUUAGGCUCAAAAAGUAGUCUCAAGCCCAAUCAGAAACUGUAUGGGCCGAGCCUGAACUCAAGAUAAAUGCCUAUGAUCCAUUGGGCAAGCCUAAAUGAGUCCACAAUUGCCUUAACAACAAAAAUAUUGUCAUGACUGUUAGUGAUUGCCAGUCAUGGCUAAAUUUUAACUACCAUGGGCAACUACUGUUCAGAAAAGGCACUGUUAUCUUCAAUCUUAAUAUAAAUUAAGCAUAUGAUGACAUUAAAAAGGUCAUUUUAUCCUGAGCAUCAUACUGCAACUUUCUUUUCCAUUUCUCUCUUCGAAUCACUAACUUGACCAUUGGAGAAGGUGUUCUAUAACCAUCCCGAACAUUUUUUGUUUGCAUGUUGUUGGAUUCAGGCUGCUCACUCCAUUGAGGUUAAUCUACAUGAAAGUUGUUGAUGUUAGCUGAUUGUGGAAAUUGACAGCUUGACUGAUUGUGAUUGACUAAAAUAUAAAACUUAUACAAGCUGUAAAUUAAGGUUAUAAAUCAGUGAUAAAAUUAGGAUUAUAAAUUAAGGAUUCCUAGCUUGUUUGUAUAGUUGACUAAUAGUGACUACAUUCAAUGUAUUCUUGGAUUAUUUUCCUUUAUUGUUUUACCUGUAACCUUAUAUAUAUUAAUUGUAAAUUCCUCCAUUAAUACAAGAAUGCAAUUCCAUGAUUGUUUACAUGGUAUCCAGCAAAGUACUAUUAAAAUUGCUUCUCGUUUCUUUGGCCUAUAUUGGUGAAGCCAAGUGCAUUCUUCUUUGCUACAGCUUUAACAUUUCGUGGCCUUCAUUGCUGAAAUCGACAUAGAGAAAUACAAUCUUCAUUGUUGGUUCUCCCACAUUCUCUCUGCUUUUAUUCUCUUUCUCAAUAUGUCUGAAAUAUCUAGUAAUGUCCAAAUCUCUUCCUCCAUAAAAAAUUUCGAUCAAGUUGUAAUCCACUCUUCCUCUAGUGAAUACCAAAAUCUCCAAGCGUCAUUUAGGCUUAAUAGCCGGAGUUAUCUGGUUUGGUCUCCACAUGUGAAGGCAUCCCUUGAACGAAAGGGGAACCAAACAAUUUAGUUAGAUCGGUACCAAGCUCAAAAGACCCACAGUUUGUACCGACAAAACCCACCCCAUUGCCAUCCCUCUCUAUGGUGAUCUAUUGAUUUAUCAUCUAUUGUUAGAUAUAAAGAGUAGAUCAUUAAUUUUGCAAACUUAUCUAUUAAUCUAUUUAUUGAACAUAAGAAUAAGGAUGCAACAUAAAAUGGUUCCUUGUGGUGCAGGAAUAAAUAAUCCCAAAAUGUUGAAAGUGUUGCCAAAAUUCAAGAGUAAGGUUUCUUUUUUAUCACCUUAUUUUCCCUAUUGUCAAGUUCGUUUAGAAGCAACGGAAAUCAUUUGUCCCAUAUUGAUUCACAAACAAAUGCUUUGAGAUUAUUUGUUAAGGAUCAAUGAUGAAUUUUUAUACGAUGUAAGUAGUAUCAUGCAAACACUACACUGAAAUAAGAACAACAAAAAUUUAAGGUGACCUACUUAAGAACAAUUUAACCUUUUUGAGGGUUUUCUUUUUUUUCUUUUCUUGCAAACAAGAAGUACAACUGAAAUUUCCUUUCUUGCAAACAAGAAGCAUACAACUGAAAUCCCAAUAUAUAACUAAAACACCAUAGGGUAAGGAUGGGCAUUGUUCUCUUGAACAAAAAGCACAAGCAAUCCUCCAAGAAAGAAAAUCCUCUAGGAUCAUAGUAAAUAAAUCUGUGUUAACAAUGCUUCCUAGACGUUUAUUGGAAAAUAAACAUCCACAAGUACCAAAUACAACUGAAAUCCCAAUAUACAACUAAAACACCAUCGAACAAGGACUACUAUAACACCAAAAAAUAAAAUAAAUAAAAUAACGGAAGAAAGCUCAUGGAGGUAAAAACUCCUAAAAAAACACCUUGAAAAGAGAAGCACUACACUUUGCUGACCAGUCUGUUGGUUGGCCAAGUGAAGGAUCCACCAAACUAGAUUUGGAGAUGGAAAAUUUUAGGUAAUUAGUCAUCUCACUUUUGAGGGUCUCAUAAGACACCAAGAAGAUAACUAAACCAAGUCACCUC
Molecule: long non-coding RNA, 62350 nt
Filed under: Vitis vinifera (wine grape)
Lineage: Eukaryota; Viridiplantae; Streptophyta; Magnoliopsida; Vitales; Vitaceae
Description: long non-coding RNA (VVIN_LNC002495)
Source: RNAcentral